This 80976-nucleotide long non-coding RNA is filed under the name Coffea arabica (coffee). Its description in RNAcentral is "long non-coding RNA (CARA_LNC004972)". The record is from RNAcentral. Lineage: Eukaryota; Viridiplantae; Streptophyta; Magnoliopsida; Gentianales; Rubiaceae.
AACGGUGGUUAUCGCCCAUCUCUCGAAGCAUUUCCAUCAGCAAAAACUCAACCUCCCACCGGGUCCAAGGCAAUGGCCUAUAAUUGGAAACUUAAACCUCAUUGGCACCCUUCCUCAUCGUUCACUCCAUCAACUCUCCCUAACAUAUGGUCCCCUAAUGCACCUUCAAUUCGGCUCCUUCCCAGUUGUCGUUGGCUCCUCCGUGGAGAUGGCCAAAGUUUUCCUCAAAACCAUGGACGGCACAUUUGCAGGGAGGCCUAAAACUGCAGCCGGAAAAUAUACCGCUUAUGAUUGCACCAACAUGACUUGGUCCCCUUACGGACCAUACUGGCGCCAGGCACGUAAGAUUUUCCUUACGGAAUUAUUCAGUGCAAAAAGACUCGAAUCAUAUGAACAUAUUCGGGUGGAAGAAAUGAAUUCGCUUCUGCUACAGCUAUUCAAGUCAUCAGGCAAGCCUGUCGUGUUGAAAGAUUAUCUUUCAACAGGAAGUUUGAACGUGAUUAGCAGGAUGGUCCUGGGGAAAACAUACAUUGAUGAGUCUGAGAACUCAAUUGUCACGCCCGAAGAAUUCAGGCAAAUGAUGGACGAGGUGUUUUUGCUGACUGGUGUGUUUAACAUUGGUGAUUUCAUACCUUGGAUCGAUUUCUUGGAUUUGCAGGGGUAUAUCAAGAGGAUGAAAAUCUUGAGCAAGAAAGUUGAUAGGUUUCUGGAGCAUGUUCUCGAUGAACAUAAUGCCCGGAGGAAGGACGAAACUGAUUGUGUCAGCAAGGACAUGGCGGACGUCCUUCUGGACCUUGCAGAUGAUCCCACUUUGGAGGUGAAGCUAGAGAGGCGUGGAGUCAAGGCAUUGACUCUGGUAUAUGUUACUUACAAACUGCAUAACGCAUGCUGUCAACUUUUAAACGACUGAAAACUUGAGAGAAAAUAGUCAGUGAUCUUUUGAACUUGAGAGAAAUCUUUUUAACUAAUUUUUUAAAAUUACGUUUUCAUUCAGAUAUCACAUUCGGAACAUUGAAACAUAAAUAAGUUUAAGAACUUCAAUGAUUGGACUAAGUUUCUUGCUGCACUUUGCGUAAUGAUUGAACUCUAGGACCUACUUGCUGGUGGAACCGAGACCUCAGCGACUACAAUAGAAUGGGCCAUUUCGGAGCUACUGAAAAACCCAGAAAUAUUCAACAAGGCAGCCGAAGAACUCGACCGUGUUAUCGGUCAGAAUCGAUGGGUGAACGAGAAGGACAUGCCAAAUCUUCCUUACAUAGAGGCUGUUAUUAAAGAAACAAUGCGUAUGCAUCCCGUGGUCCCAUUGCUAGUGCCAAGAUGUGCUCGCGAAGAUUGCAAAGUUGCAGGGUACGAUAUUCAAAGGGGAACUCGAGUCAUCGUCAACGUUUGGUCAAUUGUGAGGGACCCUGAAUUGUGGGAGAAGCCAGAGGUAUUUUGCCCCGACAGAUUCAUGGGAAAGGACAUUGACUUCAAAGGGCAAGACUGUAAGUUCUUGCCAUUUGGUGCUGGAAGAAGAAUGUGCCCAGGGUAUAGUUUAGGCCUCAAGGUUAUCCAAUCUAGUUUGGCCAAUCUUUUACAUGGAUACAGAUGGAAGUUGCCAAAUGACAUGAAACCUGAGGACCUGGACAUGGAAGAAAGAUUCGGCAUUACUACACCAAGAAAAAUCCCACUUGUUGCCAUUGUUGAGCCUCGGCUUCCUCGUAAUCUUUAUUGACUAUGAUUCACUACGUGUAUGUUUGAUCUCCCAGUAUCAUCAUUAUCAACUUGUGUUCAAAUAAAUCAGCUCUGCAAGUUUAGAAUUUGUAGCUGCGCUUAUAUGUGUUUGCCAAUUGCCACAACGCUACAAAACCCUUGUAGUUGGUGCAUGGCAUAUACGUAAUCACUGAGAUUGUUAUGCGUAUUGAAGUCCAAAUUUGUUCGCAAUUAUGUGAAACUGUGAAUAGGCACACCCCUGAUGUUUCAAAUACAUUCUAUAACACUCUGAUGCUAAUUUAAAUCUGCAAUAGUAGGUUCACAGUCAAAGCAAUGUGCUCUCUGCCAUCUUUCCUCUUAGCAUCUUCCAUCAAUUCCUGUGCACCUCUAAGCCAUGCCACUGGAUUGGUGCUACUUUCCGUACUUGUUGGGAGGAAGAGAGAAAGAGAGAGAGAAAAAAAAAAAGGGCAAAUUACAUUUUAGCCCCCUGUGGUUUUCGAAAAAACCACAUAACCCCCCAUCGUUCAAAAAGCUAUACAUAAACCCCCUGUGGUUUGGGUUGAACUGGCAAAUAGACGGAAAGCAUCCACCGUAACGAUUCGUGGGCAAAACGCGCCUGUUCUUCUGGUAGCAGUAGGAAACAUACCCAUAUUACCCCUGACCAAUUUGACGUACCCAAUAAAGCCUAGAUGGGUGCUCCUCAUCUCUUUCCAUCUUCCGAAAUACUUUGUAGCUGACUUUGCACUGAAUGUUGGUGAAGGAACCCAAGAUAGAGAACGAAGGAAAUCUGAAGGUGAGUUCUAACAUCAAGGUGCAGUCUUUUCCUUUUCCUGAAAUAUGACUUGAAUGGAUUAUUAAUUUUUUUUCAAUAAACUAUAGAUGUCAUGCUCAAGCAGUGCUGGUGGAAGUACUGAAGAUCUAAGGUACCAAUACCUAUUUUGUUCAUGUGGGAGAAAAGCAGCGGUAAAAAUUGUUGAAUCUGACAAACCUUCAAAAGGAAAGCUAUAUUUUGUUUGUGCGACAAGAAGUUGUGAAUUUUUCUCAUGGUGCAAUCCAACAAGGAGAAUAAGACAAAAUUACACUAGUGAUUUGAAUGUUACAAGGAGAGACAUAUUUAGUGGAGAAUCAAGUAUUGAUAGUUCAGAAGUGGAAGGCUUGCGCAUGGAUGGUGGUUUAUAUUUGAGGAAAAUGAAAAACAUUGAAGAAAGCUUAGGAGCCAUGAAGAUUUGCGUGGGUGCUUGUUUUGCUAUAUCUGUGCUAUCAUUUCUCAUUUUGAUGUUUAAGUGAAAAUAAUUCAGAUGAAUUGUGGCUCUAAAAGUGUUGUAAAUCUGAACCUGUUGUGUUCAAUGAAUGAAUGAAUGAAUCUGCUUUGGUAGUCAAUUGAUAUAAUAGGCAAACAUGAUUUCCAGUUGGUAUGAACCUGCUUUGGUACUCACAGGCUGAACUUGGUACUCAUCGAGACAGCAUAGCCAAAAAGCACAUACAUGAGCUAUCCAAAGUGGACAUUUGCAAUGGUUUAAAGCAAAAGAAAGUAUCUCAAUUAAUUUAAGGGAUAAUUUCAGAAACCUCCCCUGAGAGUUGGACGGGUAACUAGUGUGUCAGAGAGUUGCCAUAAUCUCCUUAAACCCGCAUGCGGGUUUAAAGAGUAUUCGGAUAUUCUCAUAUGCACCUAUGCAAAUCGAACCAACCGGAUAUCUUAUCCGUAUCCCAUUUUUUUAAAUAAAAAUCUUAUAAAUUUGAAAAAUAAAAUCAAAUUUAGAUGUAUUAGGGUUUUAAAAAUAUUAUAUAAGUGAUAAAAAUUUUAUAAAUUGUAAAAAUAAAAUCAAAUUUAAAUAAUUAAAUGUUAUAUUUGCAUAAGAAAUAAUACAAUAAUCAUAAUAAUGAUAAUAUAAUAAUAUUGGUGUAAUAAAACUGCCAUUAAUUUAAAUAUUUACUUAUAAUGCCCAAAGAGUCUAAUUACCAAUUUUUUCUUCUCGCGCUCAAAUAUAACAUUAACCCGCAUGCGAGCUAACCUUGAAAUAGAAAAAACACAGAAUCCCGCUUGCGGGUUUCAGUGUUAUUAUGCAGGCGGGAUUUUAACCUGCUUGCUUGUAAACAUGUACCACAUUGCUCUGAAAUUAUCCCUUAAUUUAACUACCAUUAUAGCUAUGCGGCAAGAGUUCAAGUAUAGACAAAUAAGGAGCAGUAAAGGUUCAGACUAAGUUCUAAAGCAAAAAAGCACACAUCAAAAGCCAAUUUCCAAGAUGCCUCAAGCAUGGAACCAAAUUCUGAAGCAUUGAACCAAGCAUUGAACCAAAUUCGUAUGACUUACUUAACAUGGGCUCACACCACUGAACUUUGGAUUCAUUUGACAAUAUAGCUGUCCAGAAGUUCAUAACCAAUUUUUACAAAACAAAAUAAGGUACAUAAGUAGCUAAUCAUUAAGUCCAGCAGACACCAAGAUUCAACAAAAAGUGUAGCAACAACAUAUUAACAGUAGACACCAAGAUUCAACAGAAAGUGUAGCAACAACAUAUUAAAAAAAAGCAUUUGCAGACAAAUAACUUAAUUGAAUUACAAACACGUUUAGCCCUCUUAGUCCUCACAUUCUAGAAACACGUUUAGCUUUCUUAGCCCUCAAAUUUUCCAACACACUUGCAACUGUUGGUACAAGUUUUCUGACUCUAGUUGAUCUUCUAGUAUCCAAAAUGGGUUCAACAGCAGAAGCAGUUCUUGUAGUAUCCAAAACAGGUUCAACAGGUUCAUCAGUUGGUCUUCUAGUGUCCAAAACAGGUUCAACAGGUUCAUCAGUUGGUCUUCUAGUUUCAAAAACUGGUUUAGCAGCAGAAGUUUCACAAGGCUGCAUAAAUAGAUAGGUUUAAGUCAGUUAAAUGCAGUAAUUGCAGUAAUAACCAUCAUCAUUAAUAGUACCUGUGACACUGAACCCUGUUGUGAGACAGAUCCAAUACUUGUAUUUCCAGCAUUUACAACAUCUUCACCUGCAUUUCCAGCAUCACUAGCUCCAGCAGGCACCUAUUUUAAUGGUAACACAUAAGGUAACAAAUUAAGUACAUAUGACACUGAUUACAAAUUAACUACUACUUACCUUAUAAAACUUGGACUUUGGAUGGAUUGGGAAUUUACAAGUCCUAGAAUUAUGUCCUGGCCUAAAACACUUCUUACAGUGCACAACAAGUCCUUUUCUUGUAGAUGUGGUGCCUCUAACUUCAUCAGCUUCUCUUCUUCUCACUUUCUUGGGUCUUCCAGGUUGCUUUCUAAUCUUUGGGGGAUUCACCUUUUCAGCUCCUUUUGAAUCGCAAUAGUCUUCAGAGGGCAUUGCAGCUAUAGUGUAGUUAUAGGUGCUCAAGUAUGCUUCUUUGCUAUAACAAGGAUCAACAUAGUGUUCAGGCUCUGAUUUAUCCCUUUGAAUGGCAGCAAUAGAAUGUGAGCAUGGAAUCCCACUUAGUUGCCAUGAUCCACAUGUGCAUGUUCUACGACUUAUAUCAACAACAUAUACUCUAGUCCCACAAUCCACUUCAUACUCAGCAUCCCGAGAAUAAUGAGCUAUGCAGAACCUACUAUUUAGCUUGUUCCUCUCAAGUCGUUCUUGUAUGUUUGGACAAAGGUUCCCUUCAUACUGUUGCAUGCCUUCCCUUUUCACAUUUAGCCUCUGCAUGAGUUUUCUUCUUAUCCACUCAAACAUGGAGAUGAUUGUGAACUCUCUUGCUGGAAGUAUGUAGGAAUUAAAUGACUCAUUCAAAUUAUUAACAAGAAUAUCACUCUUGCAUGAGGAGCUGAAAUGUGACCUGGACCAUAAAUGUGCAGGAAUCCUGUUUAACCAACCAGCUGCAUUCAUAGCUUCUCCCACCUUUGGAUCAGCCCUUUCCAAUUCAGCCAUUGCUAUCUUGAAGUCACGAAUGUUCCCAGCAGACGCAGCUGCCCAAAAGUACUCCUUCAACUCCUUUCCCUUGAACUUCUGUUUGAAAUUUUGAUAUAUAUGACGAAGGCAGUACCUAUGCUCUGAUUCAGGAAACACAUCAUCAAUUGCACUGACUAAUCCUUUUUGCCUAUCAGAUAUGAAUGUCCAUGGAGCUCCAUUUUCAGCACCAACUUCAAUUUUCAACUCCAUCAAAAACCAUUUCCAUGAGUCAUAUCUCUCGGCUUCCACUACAGCCAUUGCAAUGGGAAACAUGUUAUCAUUGCCAUCCCUACCCAUAGCUGUCAAAAGUUGUCCACCAAAUGGACUUUUUAAAAAGCAGCCAUCUAAUCCAAUUAUUCGUCGACAACCAGCUAGAAACCCAUUCUUCAUUGCACUUAAACUCCAAUACAUUCUUUCAAAUAUCCCAACCUCGUUCUCAUCCAGUCUAGUCACUUGCAGGACAAUAUGGCUACCAGGAUUCCGGAUCAACAAGGUAGCAGCAUAAUCUCUGAUGACAUUAUACUGUCUUAUAUCAUCCCCUUGUAGUGCCUCUCUUGCCAAUCUUUUAGCUCUAUAAGCCUGUCUCAUGCUUAUGUCCACCAUAAUCUCUCUCCUCACAGUCAUGACAAAUCCUUCAAUAGAAGAACUUGGUUCAUCUCUGAACCUGUCUAAAUAUUUUUUGCUCAAAUAUCUUGCAUUUGCAUGAUGAUUGCUGUAUUCUCUUCCACACACAUGCACUCCCUUUAUUGAUUUGAUCUGAAAGGUGCUUUCAUUUUGAAUUGGGCUUGCCCGUAUUUUCCAAGAACAACCCUUUUUGCACAUGGCAAUAACUUUUGCUCUUUCAUUUUUUUUGUACUUCAUGGUGUAGCCUUCCCUGACAUUCCAUUCCACAAGUGCUUCUCUAAAGGCCCGUAAGUUCUUAAAUUUAUCCCCAACUUUCAACUCAAAAUCUGACUUUCUGAAUUCAACUGCAGCAUUAAAAUCUCGACAACUAUUACCUUUCCCAUUUCUUUCAUCAUCUCCUCACAUAGUGUCAAGCAGUUCUUCAUCAUCAAUAGCAAAUUCAUUCCACUCUUCAUUAGUUUUAGAACUCUCCCCUUCUUCAAAUUUGUUCUUAGAAGAGCCUGGUGUUUGCAGAUCCUCCAUUGUAUAUGUCUGGUUCGCUGUUGUUGGUUCUUCAUCUGUGCCUUUUGCCUGCUGCUGAUUUUCUAUUUCAUUAGCCUUUGCUCUGUUUGCAAAAAUAUCCUCAUCUUCUGGUCCUUCUAAUCCCUCUUUCAACCACUCAGGCUCUUCUAAACUAUCAGAUGUAGCAUCACCGUACUCAUCUUCAUUUUCAGGCUGUUUUUCAACUUCAUCUUGCUUUUCUACAGCUUUUUCACCUUUUUCCUUUGCUGAAUUAGACUCUGCUUUGCUGUGCUUUUUGUUUCCAGUUAGCUUGGUCUGUCUUCUCACUGACUUCUUGACUAUCUGUUUCCCCUUUUUGUUUGCUAACUUUUUUGGGGUAUCUUUAUCAGAUGCCACAUUUUGUGCUCCACUAUGUGGGGCAUCAGUGGGGGCACUUUUACCAUGACUUUUUACUCCAACUGAAGCAAUUUCACUAGGCAUUUCAUCACGCAAUUCAGCAUAUAUGUUGAUAACAUCUACUCCUUCAUGUGCAGUUAACAUUAAUUCUAUUUCUUUAUCUCCUUUAAUUUCAGCUGCUCCAACAUACAACCCACAAUUUGGUAUUUCAAAAUAUAGGUUCACAUUCGAGGCAUCACCAUACCUACUAUACAAUUUACACAACAUAUCCCUGGACAAUUUUCUUGUCUCACAAUUUUUAAAUAUGGCUACAUUGUUACCAGUAUAGACAGUUUCUGGUUCCCAUAUGAAUAUACCACCGAAAUGCAAUUUUAUAGUAAUUCUUUUUGAAGUUGUCAUUUUUUUCAAAGCCUGCAUUAGAAAUAGUGAAACACAUGAUAAGAAAAAAAAAACACAAUCUGAUUAAGAAAAGGACAUUUAAUAGAUUACACACUUCAAUGAAAACACAUGAUUACAAAAAAAUACAAUCUGAUUAAGAAAAGGACAUAUUGCAUAUCGCAUACUUCCAUGGACCACAUGACGGCCAAUAAGCCGACAAGCAAAAAUUAUUCAAUGUCCAAAUUGUCAAAACUUUAUCAGCAGCCAAAUCACUCUAUAUUAUUGAAAAUCAAGCCACCCACAUUUGACCCAAAUCUGACACUAAUCAACAAAUCUCAAACUAACAAAGUCGUAUUCUACCCAUGUUUAGUUGAAAUUCCGGUGAUUUUAGAACUCCCGAAUGCAAUUUUCUUUACCCUAAUCUUAAUGCAUAAAUUCAAUUCUAGUCGAUAAAAUACUCUAUGCUUAAAUAUGAUAAUACAGAUUGUCCCAAAGCAGCAAAAUUUUAAAUUAAUCAACGCUUAAGCAAAAUAAUCACUGAUUUAUUAACUUUCCAAUGCCCGCUAGUUUCUGUUCAAAAACCAUGCAAGUGCAUCUUAUAUGCUAAAAUGAUGUCAAAAAACUUACCAGAUGCAAUAACAGCUUUCGUGAUGCUUUUUCACAGCUACUUUUUGGUCUUCAAUGGUAGAUCUUUGUGGGUUAAAUUUCUCUCCUUCAUUCGGUGGUCAUGUUUUUCUCUCCUUUUCUCACGACAAAGACAGAACAAGGAAGAAUCUGACUCAUCUGCUUCCUUUUUGUAUUUAUAUUAGGGUAAUUUGGACAUUUUGCCCACGAAUCGUUACGGUGGGUGCUUUCCGUCUAUUUGCCAGUUCAACCCAAACCACAGGGGGUUUAUGUAUAGCUUUUUGAACGAUGGGGGGGUUAUGUGGUUUUUGCGAAAACCACAUGGGGCUAAAAUGUAAUUUGCCCAAAAAAAAAAAGAGCAGAGGGUGAGGUGGCUGCGGCAGUGGUGGUAUGGGAAGGGAGGGAAGAGGAAGAGCAGCAGUGGUGUGGUGUGGUGCGGGGAGAAAGAAGAAGAAGAGAGGAAAGAAAAGAAAAAGAAAAAAAAGGAAAAAAAAAACCAAGAUUUGGAAUUUUUUCAAACCUUCAAAUGCACAAAAGUUUUCUUACAAAUUUAUAAUAGUAACACUAACACAUAUAAAAUAGCAAUCAUUUUGGAAACAAACCCUUAGAUUUAUUAUAAUAUCACUUAGCUUAUCUAAAAUUUUUAAAAUUUUACUUUCUUCCCCUGCCAACUUGGGAAGAUCAAAUGUUCCUAUCAAAGGUCACAAAUUUACAACAAUUAUGGUUGCACUCUUUAUGACUAUUUAACUGAAAAACCGAAACAAGAAGAGAGUUUUUAAAAGACCAAAAACUAUAGAUGAAAAAGAUAACCAAAUUGCUAUCCAAUAUUGGUCGAUAUUUCUUUGUAUCAAUGUGGUGGUGGAAUAGUAAAAGACAUGGGUAAAUUAAAUUCUAGUUAAAGACAUGGGUAAUUUUUGUAGAAUAGUUAUGAGGAAAUCAAGAAAUUCUUUUAGAAAAUAUGUUCUAAUAUAGGAUAUAAUUUAAGUUAUACUAAAAAUUAAAAUAACCUCUUCAUACAUGUGGUUUGUAAUAUAAAUCCUACUUAUAGAAAAAAAUUAUAUAAAUAAGUCAGAAUUUAAAAAAUUAGUCAAAAAUGUUCUAAUGACCAAAUAUAUAUCUAGGAAUAUUCUUUUUUUUGUUAGAACAUGAUUUGUUAUACAAGGUAAUAGUUAUUGUACAUCUACAAAAUUAUUCAUUAUUGCAUUUAUAGUUGAUCGUAUUUUCAACUUUUUACUUUUCAACUUUAUUUUAUUUUUUAUUGUUGUUGUACGCUUAAUAAGUAGGAUAGCAUAAGAGUAAUAUUAGAACAAAAAUUUUAUCUUUCUUGCAUUUCCUUCAAAGGGGCUAAAAUGUAUGAAAAAUAUGAAUCCAAGAGAGGUAUGUGAGAUUUUAAAAAUUGAAAGAGUUCUAAGUGAUAUUAUGAGAAAUGUCAUGCGAGGUUUCUGAAAUUAUCCCAAAAAAAUCAUCCAAAUGAACCUUCUUGUUGUUGCAAAAUCUUUGCUUCGGAAUCCUAGUGCCAUAUUUCCAUCUUCUUUAACUCUCCAUCUCUCCACCAAAAAAAAAAAAGAAAAAAAAGAAGCAAUUUUGGUAGCGAGCUACUUUGAAUAAGAUCGUGAAAUAAUUGCAUGUAGAAAUUUGACAAGAAGUGAAAGCAAUCAAAUUUACAAUAUGCCAACAUAUAUUUUUAUAUGAACACGUAUUCUAGUAUUCCAUGAGCCAUUUUGUCUUGCCUUUCGUUCUGCUAGGAAAUGGCCAAAUCCUCCUAAUAUUUACUUCCCAAAAAAAUCCGCCAAAUAUGGCUUUGUCGGCCAUGUCGCACGACGGGGAGGUCCAGAAUAUAUUUUUUAAAAAAAAUGGCAGAGGGUCGUCGCGCCCUGGCUUUUUUUACCACACUGUCGCGCCAACGUGAUGAAACGAACCUGGCAGCUAUGCGACGAGCCUUUUUUUUUUUUCAAAUGUUUUGUAAAAAAUGUGUAGGUUCCGUUAAGUUUUUUUUUUUUUUUUUUUUUUUUGAUAAGGUGGCUUUGGUUUCUUAAGUUUUAGCAUGUUUAGGAUUUACAAUUUAUUAUUUAGGGUUUAGGAGUUGUUAAGUUUGUCGAUAAAAGGGUUUGGAUAUGGCCAUUGUAGUUAAUAAAGGAUUUAUUAAAUGAAAUGUAAUUGUAUUGAAGAAAAAAAUGAGUACAUGAAUCGCAGUUUUUGUAUUUUAGAAUUUAUAUAAAAUGCAAUAGUAUAAAAAAAUUAAUAAUAUAUUGAAAAAUUAAUAGUUAUUUAUAGAAUGCACACAUAAUGAAAGUACUUUUAUAGGUCGUUAUUUGGUAUACAAUGGUACUUGAUACUUAUAUUAAAUGAUUAAACCAGUUAAAGUGGUCAUAAAUUGACUUGUACCUCUACGUUUAAUAAAUUAAUGGAUCCUUUUAUCCAAUUAUAGAAUUUCAUCAAAUAAUUUGUACUUUUGUAUUUUGAAAAUAUGUAACGUUAUUAAACUUUAAAAUAAUUAAACAGGAAAAGUAGGACAAUUAAUUAAAUGUCAAGAUAGUAUGCAGUAUAUUGAAUGGAUGGGAUUUAAAUCUAAGUAGAAGACCGGACAAUAUCAACACUUCGGGGUUUCUUGUCUUUAUCCCUGUCUUUGGGCCUUCUUACAAGGUGUGGUGGGGGAAUAACAAUGCCUAGUAGGGGCGACGGUCCUUUGCCUUCUUUAAAAGAGAAGAAAAAUCUGGAUCGCCUGACGCUUCUAUAUGGCACAACGGGCAUGCUUUAAUACACAACUUACACAUAGUUAUAUUUGGCGGAUUUUUUUGGGAAGUAACAAAUAAUAUUCUGAGGAUUUGCCUUGGGGUAAAAGUUGCUUGUAAUUGUUAGUCUAGCUACUUGACUUCAAUAUUGAAGAUUGUCCGGCACAUAAAAUCCCAAGUCGUAGUCUCCAAGAUAUAUGUAUGAAGUGACGACGAGGUUGUUGAUAAAUCCAUUUAUGACAGCACCAUGUGCAACUCAUGAUAAUUAAAUGUAAUUUUAUUUAAAAAAUACAGAUGAAUUUUAUUAUGUUGCAGGCUAUCUUAUCGACAAAAAAAAAAAAAAAUCUCCAUUUGGCCAAAAAUCAUAAACCCAUGGGCCAAAAAAUUGGUAAACAAGUUGAGUACUACGCUUUGCAUCUUUCUCUGUAAUCAUUUUCACGAGUUUGUCGUGUAGCGUGAUAUUAUUGCGAAAGAAAGUGUUCUCUAUUAUGACAGGACCAUGUGCAACUCCUGUCAGACUCAGGAGCUUCCACCUUUCCGACUGGAUGUGUCGGCCGAAGGAAAUCACACGUCAAAUUUCAUUUGAUUUGUGGAUGGAAGGCUAUGGAAGCUGUAGGCCCCGAAGCAAAAUUAAUUGGUCCACAAGAAUUGCCAAAUUAGUUUUCUUUUUCCAAAUUCAGUUAUGCGAGUAAAUGAAAGCUUUUACAACCAUUAGUUCUUUUAAAAUGUUUUAAAGCGUAACUGCAUGCACACAUUCUAUAUUCUUUUGUCUCUUUUUCAGUUUUUAUACUCCAUCUAGGAUGUCUAAUCAUUAUUUCGUAAAAAAGGAAAAAAAAACUAUGUAUAUUUUUUCUUUAUAAUUAGUCAAUUACAAAUUGGUAAAGUUCUAAUCAAUUUCAUCCAUUAUCUAACUUGCAAGAAAGGAAAAGAUAUCUCCUAAAUACAAAGUUCAAAAGGAGUUUCUAGCCUUUUAUAAUCACGUUCACAUGAUGUUUCGGUGGAUAUCCAUUUACCCAUUUUCCGUUAAAGAAAUUUACUUAUUACAAUCUUUUUCUUUACACUCCUCUAAAAUAGUAUGGAAUAUUAUCAUAAUUCUUCACAUGUCAUUAUUAAACCGAGGGUUAAGGUUUGUUGGAAAGUAAUCAAUAAAUAGUAUAUGAGUUAAUUAUUCUUAAUAACUUUCAAAGUAUGUUUUAUGUUUAGUGUCUUACAUUCAUUAAAUUUAUUGUUUUGGUUCAUUUAUAUCCAUGUUUUUUUGGAAAAUUAAAGUUUGAAGCUAAAAAGAAGUUAAUGCAAAUGCACGGCUGAAUAACUAGUGGUCUAAUUCUAUUGCUUGCUUAUCCACAAGAACGACCACGCCAACACUACUACAUUAAUACACUCAUACUUUUGCAUUUCUUAAUUACUUGCAUUACUUAUUCUUUCUUCCCAACAAUUCUACAGCCCAUAAUCAUCAUUCCAAUUUUAAUUCAGUAAUCUUCAUACAGCUCUGAACAUAUAACUAUAUUUAAUAUAAAUUCGUGUCAUUCCUGCAUUUCAAUUCUCAAAAUCUUAUUGCAUGCCUUACUUUAUAAUGGUGUUUAAUUACUUAAGUUCAUAAACAAUCAUUAGUAUCAAAAUCAUAAACUUGUAUCGCACAAUAGGAUGCUCUUCGCAUCAUUAUCAGAAGUUUAGCAAUUAAUCUUCGUCAUGUCACAAGUAAUUUCAAUUUCGCAGCUAGGGGUGAAAUUGCAAAGCAUUUGGUUAAUCGGAUGUUCGAACAAAUUUAAUUAAUUAAAUUUAAUAUGAAUUCAGUUCGGUCAAAUAGAUUUUGAUAUGGCCUUGGUAAAAACAAAAUUAUGAGAGUGCUUAAUUAGUUUGAAAGUAACUCGGAAUUCUAGAUUUUUUAUUUUAAUUGAUAUAGCACGCGUACACAUACUAUGUUACACAUGUUCACUCCACGUUGUUGUGGAUAUUGAAUAUUCUUAAUUACUAUUAUCUUUUAUUCUUUUUUUUUUCCAUCAUCUCUUCACUUUCCUUCUUUCUUUUUCUUGAUCACUUGCAUUUUGUGGAAUUAUUUUUCAUAUUUCCAAUAGUUUGCUUUACUUGCUUUUCCAUAUUUGUAAUUAUUUUCGUUAAUAUUGUGACAGCCCCACCUUCCCCUAAGGCGAACCAAAGGGUUUAGCGGACUGCCAGCCCAACUCUCGCUGGGACUCAGUCAGUCAUUUCAAGAAAAGACGAUAAAAUCCACAAAACAAUUGAAAUAACAAUAAUUCCAAACUUAAACGUAAACUUAUAUAUAUUUCUAUCUCAAAAGCAACACAACUCAAGUACAAAGGUUCUCCUUUCUCCAUACAACCAGCCCGCCAACCGCUAGGACAAGAACCAUUACAAAAGAAAUAUCAAAACUAGACCAAACUAGUCUAUACGGAGCUCUCGUCCUUGCGCGCCUUCCCCUGUUAAGGAAAACAACUAAAGGGAUAAGCUAAAAGCUCAGUGAGGUUCUGAACACAUAAACAAACAAUAAACUCAAAGCAUAGAACACCAAUAAUUCAAGUAACAUUUACAAUAUAAAGCGGUAACAUAUUCAUUAAAGGAUACGUGCUCACAAGGAGCCAUUCAUUCAUUCGUUCAUUCAUUCAUUCUCCUUUCAUUCCUUUAUUCCUCCAAUCAUUUGAAAAUGCAUCUUUGUAAGUAAAAACCCUCGUUCAUUCAUUCGUUCAUUCAUUUCAUUCACUCCCUUCCCGGACAUUGACCAGGCUCCACCAAACUUCAAGGUAAUACUCGAGUAUACCAAACGUUCACCCAAGUCACCAAAUCGCCAGACCGAGUUCGCUUCUGGCUCGAGUCGAUCGGUAACAAGGGGCAAGGCCCAGUUCAGCCAGAAGGCUUACAUUCAUGCACAAGUAACACUUCAAUCGUUCCAUCAUUGAAAACUUCACAAUCAUUUAGGCCGAGUGCGAUGAAGUACACACUCGCCUAAAAACUUGUUUUAGCAAUCAUUGAAAGCAUUUAACAUGUUAUCAAUUAUUCAGACAAGCCAUAUAAUCAAGAAAUAUAACAAACAAGGAACACUCACCUAGUUAUGCAAAAUAACGUCCAAAAUAUCCUACCGGGUAUUACCCUCAGUUACCAAUGAAACUUAAAAUUAAACAAGAGAAACUAUUACAGUUUAUCUAGCAAAACAAUUAAGGGAAAUUGAAGGAACCUGACUAAUUACGAAUACAACAUAUAAAGAUGACUUUCAAGUGAAAAGAGAGCAUUUGGAUUCCGUGGACGGGAAUAAUUAGGGUUUCAUAAACCAAACGAGAAACUAAACUCAAAAGAGUUAUAAAAGUUCCAACGGAAAACACUUGGACCAAAUACAAGUCGGAAUCCAACUAGAUAGGCUAAGAAAUAUUGUUUUCAGAAUCGCUUAUGUGGUUCAAAAUCAACUCAUAUUUGAGUAGAUAUUAGUUUUCAAAUAUCUCAAUGAAAAUCAUGUAAAAAGGAAGACACUAAAAGCCUUACUUUGAAAGUAGUUUCCCGUAACCAAGAAAACCCCAAUUCAUACCUCUUUAUUUUGGUAAACAGUAAGUAAACGUUGGAAGUGUCAAACUGGAGAGGUAUUAUAUUUUAGAAUGGUAAAAUGGUCAUGAUAUUCAUUAAGCAGAAAUAUAGGAGUUCAAAUAGAAAAUAGCUUCUCGAACACCCUUCGAGAGCACAAAUGUAGUUUUCAAAGAAGUACAUUCAAUUUGACACAAAAAUUACAUUUUCACAUUCACUGGAACUUACUCACAAUUCACGAAAGUAAACGGACGGCAUUUCCCCUUAAAUUCUUUAUUUCACCUUACAAUCAAAAUACCCAACCUUACAAGAAUUAACCACAAUCACAAAUUCGGUUUAUAAACAAUAAAACACAUCCAAUUGGGUCACAAUAUCCCUCAAUUAAAGCCAAUUAGAAGUUCAAAAGCCAACUAUUAGAAAACCCCCAAUUUAAACCCUAGAAACCGGAAUUUAUCCCAACAAGCGUAAAUUUUCCGCAAACGAUUGUAAUUAACGAAUAAAGUUGCAAUUAACACCAUUUAGAGCUAUCAAAUCAAAGCCAAUCCAUGACUAUUAUAUAAAAUCGGAAAAAUCCCCAAUAAAUCAGAAAAUGGCCCAACUUGACCUAAAACCAUGAAAUCAUCCACAAUAUAACAAUCUUAACCACUAGAAACGACCAUGAUAUCAUUAUUAAGAUCAAGGAGAAAGUUCCUUAGCAUCUCACCUUAAUCCCAAGAAAGAUAGCACCUUAAAGCUUUUCCCUUCAAAAUCACUCCACCAAGAGUUUUAAUCCCUCUUAACUAACACUUGUACGGAGUAGAAUAAAAAUCUAUCGGUGAAAUCUCAAGAUUGAAGCAAAAAUUGAAAUUAGAAAAUGAAACCUUUUCUUGGUUUUUCCUCUCAAGAGCCAUGGUUGAGCAAGGAGCAAAAUGAAGAUAUUUUGGACCAAAACAAGAUAAGAAGGAAGAAAAAUCGCUGGUCAAAGCUGCUGUCCCAUCACAAUCCGGCCAGAUUCCUGGGCGGAUUCAGGGCAAUAGCGAAACUCAAUUUUUUCAAAAAUCUCAAACAAUCCGGCCAAUAUCUGGCCGGAUUUGGUACUAAGCAGUUUCGACAAAAUUUUUCGUUUCCAAAAUCACACGCCGCGUUCAUCCGUACUCCCAGAAAGUAUAUAUAUCCAUAAUCUUAUACAAAUACACUUAAUACACACCAUCACAUGUUCAUGUAUAAGAAAUGAAAACCCUCCUUAACAAUGGAUAGCCAAUUCUCUUCAUUUUCUUCAAGGAAAGUGAAAUUAAACAAAAUACCAAGAAAAUGUGAAAAUUUUGGGUUCUCACAAAUAUCAAUUUCAUCAUAUUUAUGACUAACAAUCUAACAGGGAUUUAUGCCUUUACAAAUUGUUAAUUAUUUGGUUAAAAAACCUUUCAAAAGAUUUGUUUUAUUGUAUGGCAAUUUUUGGGGACCAAUUAAUUUUGCUUCAAGCCCCACAUUUUCCUUGCUAAGUGUGUUGUGAGGUUACACGUGGCCUUGUUGGGAUUGUGCCUUUUUUUGCAGAAAAAUUUUUAUAUUUUUUUACAAUUAUCAUUUUAUCUCAGAAACAUCAAAUCGUUACAGUAUAUUUUUUUACAAAAACUCCUAAAAAUAGCAAUACAAAUGGAGCUCUUGCAGCCACAAAUCAAAUGAAUUUUGACGUCAUUUUUAGUGUGACUUCCUUCUUCUGACACGUAUCCACUUUGUAUGGUUGGAACAUCCCGCUAUAGAAGAUCCGGUCGGUCGUGGCCAAUAAUGGGAUAGCAUAGCUUUUUGCCCAAUCACUUAAGCACGGCAAGAAGUAUUUUUUUUUUUAAUUUUACUUUUAAAUAGCGGCAAUAAGUUAUUAACAAAAGAUAAUAUGCUAGUUCUAAUACUAUGACGCUAUUCCCGUUUCCUCUAGAGGAUUUUUCAGCCAACAAACUCCUCCAACUGCCUUCCUCAAGUCUUUCUAGGGUUCUUUCUAUUUGUUUCUGUAAUACACUUUCUGACAAAUUUUCAAUCCUAGUAUUUUCUCAGUGGAAAUAUCUUUUUUUCUUAGUGAGAAUUUUUGUUUUUUGUUUUUUAGUUUUUAUUAGAUUUAAGUUUAUUCAAGUCUAAACUUUCUCGUAGGGCUUGAAAAUCUGUCUGGGAAGGCUUACAAUUCAUUUGCAACUACAAACAUUUAUAUGCAUUUAAUUAUAAGAAAAUUUGGAGCUUUCUAGUUUUUUUUUUUUUUUGUUAUUGGUUUCUCUGAUUUGAAGGAAGUCACUUCUAUUUGCAUUUCCAUUGCGUCUUUUUCAUGUAUUUUCUCCUAUUUGUACAGCUUUUAUGUGAAUAAAUAAAAUUCUCUUCUUCGUUAAAAUAAAUGAAAGAAAAUAUGAAGGAGAAAUUAAUUGAUCUAAUUGACAAUAUGUCUUUAUCAAUAGAUGCCUCCUCAGAUAUUCUCAAAAACUUCCAUACUCUAACUAUCAUUAUUUUUACACAAUAGUAUUUCUUUAACAAUUACUAGCAUUUCUAUUUUGUAAUUUGAACUACUUUCUUUCCAUCUUUGGUACACUUAUAGUUGCAAUUAUCUUAUGUUAAAUUCAAUAACUUUCAACUACAUGUUAUGGUGAGAGAUAUUUGUUUGACAUGAUAUAAACCUAAGAAGAAAAGAAUUCAAUUUGAAAACACACGUAAGACAAUAUAUAUAGGUCCAUGUACAUAAACCAAAGACCAAAAUUAUAUCAUCUCAGUAAGCACAUUUAAUAAUAUUCCCUGGAGUAUUAAAAUUAAGCAUAAGUUAAACAUUUUAUCUGGAAAUGUCUCCUAAUAAUCUUAUAUGUGAAUGAAAUAAUUAGGCAGAGAAUUGGGAAACGGAAAGACUUGAGCAUAUGCUCUUUUUCUGUGAAAUUGCACAACAAAUAUGGUAAGUAGCACCAACCCAGUGGGAUGGCCUAGGAAAUAGAAGCAACCUCUGCCAUUGAUGAGGGGAGUUGAUGGAAGAAAACGCAUUGCUUUGAACUGUAAACCUGCGCAGAUUUGCAAAGAAAGGAGGUUGUUCAAGUGUUAAUUUAGUGGCCAUGACACCACCUGGACGGUCGGACCAUUCAGUACUGACAGAGCCAUGUUAAGUCAAGGGCGGAGCCAUGUUAGAGAUCAAUAAUCAGAGGCUUACAAAAUUUCGUAAUUUUUCAAUUUAGCUCACAUUUGCACUGACAAAUUUUGUAAAAAUUUUAUUUUGCUCUUGCAUUGCCCCUUAGAGCAUCUACAAUGGUUUACACCCUUUAGGGUGUAAUCCACAUGCCACAUCAGCAUUUCACUAUCUCCUCUUUUUAUUACACUCUUAUCCACAAUGGAUUACACUCACAGAAUAUAAUAGCAUGGAUCCACAUGCCGCAUCAGCAUUCCACUAUCUCCUCUUUUAUUAUACUCUCUCCCCUCUUUUAUUUUAACAAUGCAUAACUCAUAACCCAUAAAUAAAUAAAUUUAUUAUUUUAAAAAUGGUUAUUUUUAAAAAUAAAUUAUUGACGUGACACCUCAAAAUGUGAAAAUAUCAUAAUAAUCCAUUAUUCAUUAAUAAUACCCUAUCUACUGAAUUUAACUGCACGACAUAAUAUUAAAAUUAAAUAAAAUACCAAUAAUAAUAUAACGAAUACUAAUUUUUAUUAUUAUUGCCUCCAAAUCGUUCCCAAAAAUGCUCGAACAAAUCCAACAGAAGUUGAUGAUGUACUUUCCGAUCACGUAGUUUCGCAUUCCUCUGAAGAUAAUGGUGAAAAUUUUCGACUUGAGUCACAGGGAUCGUUGGUUCUUCAUCAUCAUUAUCCCAGUUUUUUAUUGCAUCUCCCUCAUCCUCGACAAUCAUAUUAUGCAAUAUGAUGCAUGUGUAUACUAUAUCUUUCAAUUUAGCUUUAUGCCAAAAUCGAGCUGGGCCACGUACAAUUGUCCAACGAGAUUGGAGCACUCCAAAAUCUCGCUCGACGUCUUUUUUUUGCAGCCUCCUGUAUUUGCUUAAAUUUGAUCCUCUUUGGAUCUUUAGGAGAUGUAAAACUUUUAACAAAUGUUGUCCAUUCUGGAUAUAUGCCAUCUGCUAGACAAUAUCCUUUGUUGUACUGUGUGCCGUUUACCAUAAAUUGAAUAUCAGGAGCAUAUCCGUGUAACACGUCGUUAAAUAGUGGAGAUUGAUUGAGUACAUUAAUGUCAUUGUUAGAUCCCGCGAUGCCAAAAAAUGCAUGCCAUAACCACAAAUUUGCUGAUGCAAUUGCUUCUAGCAUUAUUGUGGGAGAUCCUUGAUCACCUCGAGUAAAUUGACCUUUCCAUGCCACGGGACAAUUCUUCCAUUGCCAAUGCAUGCAGUCAAUGCUACCAAGCAUUUUGGGGAAACCAUGGCGCUCAGAAUGCAAUUGAAGUAAACGUUCAACAUCAUUAGUAUUAGGCCUUCUCAAGUAUUGUGCUCCAAAAAUAUCGAUCACGCACCAACAAAAUUGUGACAAACAUUCGAUUGCAGUGCAUUCACACAUCCUUAUGUACUCGUCCAAUUGGUCAGCAGGUGCUCCAUAUGCUAAUUGUCGGAUAGCUGCUGUGGUUUUUUGAAGUGGAGAAAGUCCUCUUUUGCCAGCUGCAUUGACCCUCAUUUGAAAAAACUCUGAAUGAUUUGUCAUCGACUCCACAAUUCGAAGGAAUAAUUCCCUUCUCAUUCAAAAUCGUCAGCGGAAUAUAUGUGAAGGAUACACUGGCUCGUUGGUGAAAUAGUCAUUAACAAGUCGAACAUGUCUAACACCACGCUCUCAAUUGUAAUAUCUUCGACUGUGUGGACGGAUGUUACGACUUGAAGAUGUAUGUUGCGUUUGCCAUUGCUCCAACAUCUUCAUAAUUUGAUCAUCAAUGUCAUCCAUCAUUUCAUCGGCUAAAAACUUUUAAAUUUCUUCUAUAAGAGAGAUAUCAGGAUAUUAAUACAUUUUUUGAGUCUGUUGAGUAUUUGGUGGCAAUGUAUUGCGUCUUGCCAAUACAAAUAUAGUGCUAGUGUUAUAACGGCUAGUUUUCCAACGGCUCAUUUUUCUAACGGCUAAUUUUCCAACGGCUAGUCUUCUGACUUAUUAUAAUGAAUAUAUAUAAUAUAUAUUUAUAUAAUUAAUAUUAUAUUUAUAUUAUAUAAUAUAUUUAUAAUUGUUAUAUACAUAUACAUAAUAUAUUAUAUAAAUAUAUAUUACAAUUAUUUAAUUAAGUAUAAUUAUAUUUAUCUAAUAUAAAUUAUAAGUUUAUGAAUAUUAUAUUAAUUUAAAAUGAUGAAAUUUAAAACUUCGUUAGCUUGGUUUCAAAUCCAUGGCCGGAUUUCAUAGUUUGGUUUCGAAUCCAUGACUGGAUUUCAUAACCUCGUUCCAAAUCCAUGGCUGGAUUUUAUAUGUUGGUUUCGAAUCCAUAGCUGGAUUUCAUAACCUGGUUUCGAAUCCAUGGCAGGAUUUCAUAAAUUGGUUUCAAAUCCAUGGCCAGAUUUUAUAGCUUGGUUUCGAAUCCAUGGUCGGAUUUCAUAGCUUGUGUCUAGUUACGCCAUAAAUGUACUACAUAAGUGAUUAAUAUGAUACAACAUGGUUUUUUCUGCAUCUUAUUGCACCGUAUAGUAAAAUAAAAUUAAAAAUAGACUAAGAAAUAUUAUAUUUGGCUUUUAGGAUGAAGCACAUUUGCUCAUGAAUUCGAAGCUGUUAAUCGGUCAUACCCGUGGUAUCCUUGAGUAAUAUUUCAUAAUCACUUUGAAAAUUAUAACUUUAUAACUUAUUUGCCAAGUUUUCCAUAGCCUGCAAUUUUUCUUCUUUUUGCUGCAUCAACACUUUUCGGAUUUGAUCAAAUUCCUCACUCACAUUUGAUUUUGCCUUUUUCUUUCCCUUCUUUGAUGCUUUUUGACCAGGUGGGUGAACUUCACGUGCUUCAUUAUCAUUGAUGUCAAAAUUUGAAUUCGUAUUGGAUGAAUAAGUGUAUGCCCCGCUUUCAUCGGUUAUUAUCUUUUUUGAAGAACGUUGCAUAGGAGUAUUUACUUUCCACUUCGGAUCAUUUUUCAACAACACCCACACAUGUUCAUGUAAAAAAUGCUUGUUAUUAUUCUGAUGAAAUAGCUCACGUGCGUGUUGCUUGAUCUAGUCAUCAUUCCACCUGCUAUGAUGUUUGCCGACCAAUCUGUUGUAAUAUUGGUUGAACUCAUUAACCAUCCGACUCAACCAAUGCCAAUGUGAUUUCACUGCUUUAUAUUUUCGUGGUGGUCCAGAUUUUCGAUUCUCAUUGAAGUAGUCGACGACUCAUUUCUAAAAACUUUUUUCAUUUUGAGAGUUACCCACAACGCUGCAAUUUGAAAUUGUGAGCCAAGCACUUGCAAGAAUCUUGUCAUCAUCCACACUCCAUGGAACACAUUUACGGUCAGGUUCUUCCACCGCCUCAUUUGUGAGAUUUAUAUUUUCUACCUCACGUUGUGUUGAAUACGGUGGAAAUUGAGAAUCCUAAAUUGACUCUGUUGGUGUUGCAUUAUCUUGUUGACUGGCGAAAUCAAAAUCCUUCCUUAUCUCCGACGGAGUCGUUGAGCCUUCACAACCCAUACCAAGGUUAUAAUACCUCGGUGUAUAGUGAUUUCCCAUAGAAUGAUUAAAAUAAUUAGGUGACGGAUACAUGGGAAUUUGAUAUGGAAAAUGUGGUGGAUUUUGGAAAUUUGAUGAAUGAUUGGAAUUGGGUAAAUUUGGGUAAUUUGGAAUUGGAAAUGGAUAAUUUGGCAAAUUUGGAUAAUUUUGGUGGUUUUGAUUUUGUGAAGCGGAUGAAUUUUCUAUAUUUGGACUAUUUAACAUAUUUCUAAAACUACUAAGAUUCUCAUCUAUAAUGAUAAAAUACUGAAAUUUAUAAAAUUAUGUAAAGAGAUUGAAAAUAAUGAAUAAGGGAGUAGGAGAGAUAAUGGAGUAGAAGAUUGUGAGGUGAAAUAAAAAAAUUAAUUUGUGUAUUUAUAGGAAGUAAAAUAAAUUAUCCGUUGCUAAAAUAUAGCUGUUGUAAAAAAAGGCCAUUGUCAAAUGAUUGGUUCCAAAAAUGACCAUUGUAAAAUGUUUCAAAAAAUGACCAAGUAAAAUGCUGUCUCAUUUUGGCUAUUUGGAUGUUUGCUAGUAUUGUAAUGCCGUUUGGAUCCCAUAACAUCUUCAAUGACACGCAUCAUCAAUAUUGUACGUGUCAUCUAAUCAGUAUUGUGCGUGUAAUCUCCAUGACACGGUCAUAACAUCUUCCAUGACACGUAUCAUCAAUAUUGUACGUGUCAUCUAAUCAGUAUUGUGCGUGUAAUCUCCAUGACACGGUUGGUCUUCCAACCGUGUCAUGGAGCGGUGUAAUGGGGGGAUUAUACCCCCAUUAUACAUUGCUGUGGAUGCUCUUAAAACAGCUAACGUAUUUGAAAAGUAGAAUGGACCAGCUAAAUAACCAAGAUGCCGCCGAUUACAAUAAUUUGCAUGGUGAGUUCUUGGUAGUAGUUAUUUAGUGACUUCCAAGCCUUUGCUCAUUAUAAAUACCGGCCCCCUCCACAUUCCAAACAUACUCAACCACCUUCCUUGUGCUACAUUCUGCUAUCUUCUGCCACCACCACCACCCCCACUACUCCCAGAAAAUGGAAAGCUUUUCUCCCACCUGGGCUGUAUAUGCACUCGCCUGGGUUGCAACGGUGGUUAUCGCCCAUCUCUCGAAGCAUUUCCAUCAGCAAAAACUCAACCUCCCACCGGGUCCAAGGCAAUGGCCUAUAAUUGGAAACUUAAACCUCAUUGGCACCCUUCCUCAUCGUUCACUCCAUCAACUCUCCCUAACAUAUGGUCCCCUAAUGCACCUUCAAUUCGGCACCUUCCCAGUUGUCGUUGGCUCCUCCGUGGAGAUGGCCAAAGUUUUCCUCAAAACCAUGGACGUCACAUUUGCAGGGAGGCCUAAAACUGCAUCCGGAAAAUAUAACUCUUAUGAUUGCACCGACAUGACUUGGUCCGCUUACGGACCAUAUUGGCGCCAGGCACGUAAGAUUUUCCUUACGGAAUUAUUCAGUGCAAAAAGACUCGAAUCAUAUGAACAUAUUCGGGUGGAAGAAAUGAAUUCGCUUCUGCUACAGCUAUUCAAGUCAUCAGGCAAGCCUGUCGUGUUGAAAGAUUAUCUUUCAACAGGAAGUUUGAACGUGAUUAGCAGGAUGGUCCUGGGGAAAACAUACAUUGAUGAGUCUGAGAACUCAAUUGUCACGCCCGACGAGUUCAGGCAAAUGAUGGACGAGCUUUUUUUGCUGACUGGUGUGUUUAACAUUGGUGACUUCAUACCUUGGAUCGAUUUCUUGGAUUUGCAGGGGUAUAUCAAGAGGAUGAAAAUCUUGAGCAAGAAAUUUGAUAGGUUUCUGGAGCAUGUUCUCGAUGAGCAUAAUGCCCAAAGGAAGGACGACACUAAUUGCGUCAGCAAGGACUUGGUGGACGUCCUUCUGGGCCUUGCAGAUGAUCCCACUUUGGAGGUGAAGUUAGAGAGGCGUGGAGUCAAGGCAUUGACUCUGGUAUAUGUUACUUACAAACUGCACAACGCAUGCUGUCAACUUUUAAACGACUGAAAACUUGAGAGAAAAUAGUCAGUGAUCUUUUGAACUUGAAUACUCCUCAAAAUUUUCUUUGCUACUGAAAACUUGAGAGAAAGUAGUCAGGAUCUUUGUAGUUUGAUGAAAAUUUUUCAGUGGAGGCAGAAUUAACAAGAAAAUUCUUUUUAAUCCUUCUAAAAGAAAUUGCUUUUGAUAAAGGUACUCAAGUAAGUAAGAAAAUUGUUGGCCAAGUACAGUCAAUUUGCAACUUAAAAACGUUUCUUGCUGCACUUUGCGUAAUGAUUGAACUCUAGGACCUACUUGCUGGUGGAACCGAGACCUCAGCGACUACAGUAGAAUGGGCCAUUUCGGAGCUACUGAAAAACCCAGAAAUAUUCAACAAGGCAGCCGAAGAACUCGACCGUGUUAUCGGUCAGAAUCGAUGGGUGAACGAGAAGGACAUGCCAAAUCUUCCUUACAUAGAGGCUGUUGUUAAAGAAACAAUGCGUAUGCAUCCCGUGGUCCCAUUGCUAGUGCCAAGAUGUGCUCGCGAAGAUUGCAAAGUUGCAGGGUACGAUAUUCAAAAGGGAACUCGAGUCAUCGUCAACGUUUGGUCAAUUGUGAGGGACCCUGAAUUGUGGGAGAAGCCAGAGGUAUUUUGCCCCGACAGAUUCAUGGGAAAGGACAUUGACUUCAAAGGGCAAGACUGUAAGUUCUUGCCAUUUGGUGCUGGAAGAAGAAUGUGCCCAGGGUAUAGUUUAGGCCUCAAGGUUAUCCAAUCUAGUUUGGCCAAUCUUUUACAUGGAUACAGAUGGAAGUUGCCAAAUGACAUGAAACCUGAGGACCUGGACAUGGAAGAAAGAUUCGGCAUUACUACACCAAGAAAAAUCCCACUUGUUGCCAUUGUUGAGCCUCGGCUUCCUCGUAAUCUUUAUUGACUAUGAUUCACUACGUGUAUGUUUGAUCUCCCAGUAUCAUCAUUAUCAACUUGUGUUCAAAUAAAUCAGCUCUGCAAGUUUAGAAUUUGUAGCUGCGCUUAUAUGUGUUUGCCAAUUGCUACAACGCUACAAACCCUUGUAGUUGGUGCAUGGCAUAUGCGUAAUCACUGAGAUUGUUAUGCGUAUUGAAUUCCAAAUUUGUUCACAAUUAUGUGAAACUGUGAAUAUGCACACCCCUGAUGUUUCAAAUACAUUCUAUAAAAUUCUGAUGCUAAUUUAAAUCUGCAAUAGCAGGCACACAGUCAAAGCAAUGUGCUCUCUGCCAUCUUUCCUCUUAGCAUCUUCCAUCAAUUCCUGUGCACCUCUAAGCCAUGCCACUGGAUUGGUGCUACUUUCCGUACUUGUUGGGGGGAAGAGAGAAAGAGAAAAAAAAAAGAGCGGAGGGUGAGGUGGCUGCGGCAGUGAUGGCAUGGGAAGGGAGGGAAGAGGAAGAGCAGUAGUGGUGUGGUGCGGAGAGACAGAAGAAGAAGAGAGGAGAGAAAAGAAAAAAGAAAAAAAAGGGAAAAAAAGCAAGAUUUGGAAUUUUUUCAAACCGUCAAAUGCACAAAAGUUUUCUUAAAGUUUUAUAGUAAAGUGUUAUUCUUGGUUUUGAUGAUCACAAAAGUUUGUUUAUACAGACCAAGAAAGUGAACACUUUGAUCAGGUCUGUUGGAACAAAGAAAGCGUAUGUUCGUUUAUCUCCUGACUACGUUGCUUUGGAUUUGGAUGUGGCAAACAAGAUUGGAAUAAUAUGAAUGAAUUUAGUCAUUGUUUUGUUUUCGAUCAAAGAUAUUGUCUUUUAAGUAUGUCUAGUUUGUCAUUCUUGGUACUUUGAAAUAUUUGUCUAACCUUCCUCAAAUACAAGUGUUUUUUUGUCUAUCCAAGAAUCAGGUUCAAAUAUGUCAUGAAAUGUAAAACAACCAAAAUGAGAAGCAAAAACAGGACAAUCAGGUCGGACGGCCGAAAGGAAACUGUCGGACGUCCGAAAAGAUAAAGAACAUCAGGAAGGAAGCACCGUCGGACGCUCACAUGGAAGCAUCGGACGUCCGGAAGGAUCGGACGCUUGCCAUCGGACGUUAAUCAACCGCAUCGGACGUCCGAAAAAUUCCAAGAUAACUUGCUAGCUCUCGGCCCAAGGUCGGACGCUGUGCUGUCGGACGACAAAGAACUUAUCGGACGUCCGAACCUCAACUUGGCUAUCAUCGGACGAUUGGUUCGGACGAUGAUUCGAUCGUCGGACGUCCGACAGCCCCAACGGCUAGUUGACUCUUCAGCUGCCUUCUAUCCGUUGGAAGCAUUGAUGAAGCCCAUUUCUGGAUCCCUUUAAAAUCAAACUGGUCUGAACGAAGUAGGGACUUUUGCUCACUUUGUUUACAAGUUCUCAAGAGAUAUUUUAGCUAGAAAAUAGUCUCCAAAGCAGAUUUGUAUUAAAGUGGUGUGAAUUUCUGUUGAGCAUUUCUUUUGUGGUUGAAAGGAUCUUUAGUGUAGCUUUGUUGAGGGUUUUCUGAGUGAUUGUAAAACUUCCUAGCUUGACUAAGUGAGGCUUAGGGCAAGGAGGAAGAGCUCCCUCCAUUGUACAUCUAGUUGAUCUUCGUUCAUCAAAGAGAAGUUGCUCUUCCUAGUGUUUGGUCUUCAAGUUUGGGUAAAGCUUGGUAGACACUUGGUUUGUUUCUCUAUUUUAUAUUUCUGUUUAAUAAAAUCUUCAUUGCUUAUCUAUACUUGCUUCUCUGAUUAAUAUUGCUAUUGUCUUCUAAUCUACUUGGUUGAUCAUUACUAAAAAGGAAGGUAAAUUUUCAUUAAAGAAAAAGUGCAUAAACUUGGUUAAGUUUUUAAUCAACCAAUUCACCCCCCCCUCUUGGUUGUCUGUGGGACUUACAAUUGGUAUCAGAGCUUGGUCUCUUUUGAUCAAGCUUAACCGCUUAGAGUAAAGAUCAUGGCAACCAUAAAAGUUUCUUUUUUAGAAGGGCAAUCUAUUGAUAGACCACCUAUGUUUAAUGGUUCUCAUUUUAGCAUGUGGAAACAAAGAAUGAUGAUUUUCUUACAAUCUGUUUACAUUGAAUUAUGGUAUGUGGUAGAAGAUGGUCCUUAUGAAGCUAGAAUAGUUGACUCUAUCACCAAUUUGAGUAGAUUAAAGACUAGACAAGAAUUGAAUGAAAAAGACAAGAGAUACCUUUCUUUGAAUGCCAAGGCCAUGUGUAUAUUGUACAAUGCAUUAGAUGUAAAUGAAUCUACUAGGAUUAAAGGUUGUAAAUCAGCUAAAGAUAUUUGGGAUAAAUUGUGUGUAUUUCAUGAAGGUAAUCAAGAUAUUAAAGAACAAAAGAAAUCUUUACUUGUUUCUCAAUAUGAAUUUUUCAAAAUGCAUUCUCUUGAAAAUGUUGAUAAGAUGUGUAGUAGAUUUUGUGACAUUAUUGAAGAACUUAAAUUGCUUGGAAAAGAAUAUUCUUUGGAUGAGAAAAAUAGAAAGAUUUUGAAUGCCUUGCCAAAAGAAUGGGAAAACAAAAUAAAUGCUAUAGAAGAGGCAAAGGAUUUAAAUUCUAUGUCCAUUGAAUCUCUUGUGGAUACCCUAACCUCUUAUGAAUUAAAGCUGGAAUUCAAAGUGCAAGAGGAAGAAAAUGCAAGAAUGUAUAAGAGAGGCAUAGCUUUUAAAGCAUCUCAAGUGGGGGAUAACCCAUCCUUCAUGGGUAAUGAAAUCAUGGAAGUGGACAAUGAUAUAACUCCUCACAUCAAAAGUUUCAAGAAGAUCUUCAACAAGAGAUGUUCAAGAGGAGAUUGCAAAAUUACAUGGGAUGAAUGCAAUUCAAAAAGAGAAAAAGAAGAGUUGUCCCAAAUGGCACUAAUGGCCGUUGGAGAAGAUGAGGUAAGUUCUUAUCACUCUUCUUGUGAUGAAGAUAAUGAAGAUGAUGAUGUGAAAACUCUUAUGAUUAAAAUGCAUAAAAGUUUGAAAAAAUCUUAUGCUAAAAAUAAAGAUUUGAAAACAAAAAUAAAUGAUUUGUUGGAAGAAAACUCCAAACUUUUUCAAGAAAACAAAUGUUUGAGAAUGGAAAAUGAUGAUUUAAAAAAUCAAAAAGGUGUUUUUGAUUGCAAAAAUAAUUUGAAAAGAAAGUUGGAAGAGAAAACAAAGUUUUAUGAAAAAAUGUUGGAGGAACAAAAUUUGUUAAAGAAAAGAAUUAAUGACUUGAACGAGGUUCUCCAAAAUGAAAAACAAAAGUUUUCUCAAACAAAAGAAAGCAAAUCUUUUCAAGGCACAAAUAAGUUUGCUAAGAAAAUUAGUUGCAUUAAAUCCACUUAUAUGCAAAAUACUUCUAUCAUGUGUCACUUUUGUUGCCAAUUUGGACACAUGUAAAAUGAUUGCUAUGUAAAGAAAAAUAUGAGAAAAGAUAUGAAAUCCAUGUGGAUUGCUAGAUCAUGUUGUAAUAACUCCCAAGGACCCUAUUAUGGUCUUGACUUGAAAAAUAAAGGGGGAGUUUGUUUUUUGAUUGAUGCCAAAAGGGGGAGUAGGAUUUAUUGAAAUUUCUUUGCAUGUUGGCACUUUCUAAGGGGGAGCUUUAUUUGAACUUAUUUGAUAAAAGAAAUCUUCAUUUUGUUUGUCAUCAUCAAAAAGGGGGAAUAUCCACCAGAUCAUACCAAAAGAAACUUAAAAUAUCCAUUACAAUACAUAUUCAUUGUUGAAUACCACAAACACGUAAAGAUGACAACCAGUCAUGCUAUGUUUGUUGAGGGGCAAUCUGUUACUAGGCCUCCCAUGUUCAGUGGCUCUAACUAUGUUAGCUGGAAAGAACGAAUGAUUAUCUUUUUGCAAUCUAUCGAUAUUGAACUAUGGUUUAUUGUGAGUGAAGGACCGCAUGAAGCUAACUUUCUUGAUGCAGAUACAGGGUUGCUUCGGCCAAAAACAAGAGUUGAAAUGAAUGCUCAAGAUAGGACUAACCACAUUGAAUGCCAAGGCCAUGAAUGUUAUUUAUAGUGCCCUAGAUUCAAAUGAAUCAAUCAGAGUAAAAGGCUGCAAAUCGGCUAAAGAAAUGUGGGAUAAACUAAGAGAAAUCCAUGAGGGUGGUGACAAUGUGAAAGAACAGAAAAAGGCCAUCUUGGUCACGAAAUAUGAAUCAUUUAAAAUUGAACCUCUUGAGGAUAUUGACAAAAUGUAUUGCAGGUUCACUGACUUGAUCAAAGAUCUCGAGGCGUUGGGCAAAGAGUACACCUUGGGAGAGAAGAACAGGAAAAUUCUCAAUGCCUUGGGCAAAGAAUGGGAAAAUAAAGUGACAGCAAUAGAGGAGGCCAAGGAUUUAAGUUCUGUGCCUAUUGAAUCUAUCAUUAACUCACUAACCACUUAUGAGUUGAAACUGAAAUCUAAAGUGCAGGAGGAAGAGGAUGCUAGAGCAAAGAGAAACAUUGCUCUAAAGACUACUCAAGGUGAAGAUGAUUCUGCUCAUCUGGAUGAUGAAGACUCGGAUGGUGAUGAUAAUGAUCUUGCUCUCAUCACCAGAGGCUUCAAAAGAAUCCUGAAUAAAAGAAAGUUUAGAAGGGGAGGACCUAGCAAUCAAUUCCAGAAUCAGCCAUCUAUCGCAAAGUAUAAAGGUAAACAAGAUUUCAACAAGAAACAGUUGGACAAAUGCUUCGAAUGUGGACAGAUUGGACAUUAUGCAAACGAAUGCCCCAUGAAGAAGAUGAAAGAUGGAAAAGCUGAUCGAAAGCCAAGAUUCAACAAUUUUCAGAUUACUUGGAAUGAAUGCAACUCCGAAGGGGAAGUUGAAGAAGAAGAAGAAUCUGCUCAAAUGGCCUUCAUGGCUAUUGGAAAUAAUGAGGUAACCUCCACACACUCUCAAUCUGAAAGUGAUAAUGAUGAAGAUGAUGAUCUUGAAUCUUUUGUUGAAAAACUGCAUAAUGCCUUGAAGGAAUCCUAUGAUAAAAACAAGCAGUUAAAACAGAAAAUGGCUUUUCUCAUUCAAGAAAAUGCAAGUCUUUUUCAACAAAAUAAACAACUAAAGACCGACAAUGAAAGUCUAGUAAGAGCUGGAUGUAAUGUUCAAGAUGAGCUUGAUAGAAAGACAAAUAUUUGUGAAAUGCUGAAGGAAAGACAUGGUGAUUUGAAAAAAAGGAUGGACAGCUUGGAUGAGAAUUUGAAAGCAAGAAAGCAGGAGUUUAACAAAAGGAACAUGUUAUCUACACAUCCUACUACUUUUCAAAGAACAUUUGCACACAACAAAAUGGCACAUGGUUUCACAACAUAUAGAAGAGGUGAAUUAAGAUAUGUCAAACCAGUACAUGUUAAGGACUCUUCCAUUAUGUGUGUUUUUUGUUGUCAAAGAGGGCAUUUGAAAAGUAAUUGCUAUGUGAAAAGAAAUCUGAAUAAAGGGAUGAAGUGCAUGUGGUUAGUUAGAUACAAUGCUAACUAUUAUGGACCCAAAAAUUAAAAAGGGUACCAAACACGUUAUCUUUUCAGGAUAAAGGAUCAAACAAGUCAAAAUGGUUUAUUGAUAGCGGCUGCUCAAGGCACAUGACCGGUGAUCCUUCCUUGUUCAUAAAGCUGAAAUCAAAAUCAAGUGAAAAUGUAACAUUUGGUGAUGAUGUGAAAGCUAAGACAAUUGGAAUAGGUGAUGUUGGUAAGGAUGGUGAAACUUUUGUUCAUAAUGUGCUCUUGGUUGAUAACUUAGGUUAUAACUUGCUUAGUGUUAGUCAACUGUGUGAUAAAGACUUGUAUGUGUUAUUUAAAAAGCAUGAAUGCAUUGUACUUGAUUCCAAAUAUAAUGUUGUGUUCAAAGGUAAGAGGUUUAAUGACAUAUAUAUUGUGAUUCUUGAUAAAGUUGAUUCUUCUAGCUUAAAAUGUCUUAAAGCUUCAAAUGAAGAUUCUUGGUUGUGGCAUAGAAGACUUUGUCAUUUUAACAUGGAUUUACUAAAGGAAAUUUCGAAAAAGGAGUUGGUUAGAGGCUUGCCAAAAAUUAGUUUUGAUAAGGACAAAAUAUGUGAUGCAUGUCAAUUUGGGAAGCAAACUAAAAUUUCUUUUAAACCAAAAAUGUGUGUAUCUACUUCAAAACCUUUGGAACUCUUGCAUCUUGAUUUAUUUGGUCCCACUCAAAUCACUAGCUUGGGAGGUAAAAAAUAUUGUUUUGUAAUUGUUGAUGAUUAUUCCAGAUACACUUGGGUGAUAUUUCUUGCUCAUAAAGAUGAUGCCUUCAAGAAUUUUACUUCAAUGUUUGCUAAAGUGCAAAAUCUGCUUGGGUUAAAAAUUGUUAGGAUUAGAAGUGAUAAUGGGACGGAAUUCAAGUAUUGUGGUUUUCCAGAAUUUUGUGAUCAUAAUGGUAUAACACAUGAGUUUUCUAUUGCAAGGACUCCACAGCAAAAUGGUGUUGUAGAAAGGAAAAACAGGACUCUCCAAGAGGCUGCUAGAACUAUGUUGAAUGAAUGUAGGUUGCCUAAAUAUCUUUGGGCGGAAGCGGUAAACACUGCAUGUUAUGUGAUGAAUAGAAUACUCUUGAGACCUAUUUUAAAGAAAACUCCUUAUGAGCUGAUUUUUGAUAAGAAACCUACGGUUGGUUAUUUCAAAGUAUUUGGUUGUAAAUGUUUUAUUUUGAAUCUAAAGGAACAUCUUGGUAAAUUUGACAAAAAAUCUGAUGAAGGAAUAUUUUUGGGGUAUUGUGAGAAUAAAAGAGGAUAUAGAGUUUUUAAUAGAAGGACACUUGUGAUUGAAGAAGCUAUACAUAUAACAUUUGAUGAAGCCAAUGAUGAUAAUUCCAAAAGUUUGUGUGAGGAUGAUGAUGUAGGUGUUCGAGAAGCAAUGGAAAAGCUAUCAAUUGGAAAUGAAGGAAGUUCUGAACCAGCAGCAACUGAAAUGGAAAAUGAAGUUCAUAAUGAUCAAGAAGAGGAAGAUGAAGACAAAAAUGAUGAUCCACUCAAAGAUCUUCCCAAGGCUUGAAAAUUCAACCAAAAUCAUCCAAAAGAGCUUAUAAUUGGUGAUCCAUCCGAGAAGGUAAACACUCGUUCCUCAUCUAGAAAAUUGAUUGAUAAUUUUGCUUUAGUUUCUCUUUUUGAACCCAAAAAUAUCAAUGAUGCUUUAAAGGAUGAAAAUUGGAUUUUGGCUAUGCAAGAGGAACUUAAUCAAUUUGAGAGAAAUGAAGUUUGGACACUUGUUGAUAGACCUCAAAAUCAACCUAUCAUUGGCACAAAGUGGAUUUUUAGAAAUAAGUUGGAUGAUAAAGGUGUUGUUGUAAGAAAUAAAGCCAGAUUAGUUGCUAAAGGAUAUGCACAAGAAGAAGGAAUAGAUUUUGAUGAAACAUUUGCUCCCGUACCAAGAUUAGAAUCUAUUAGAAUGCUUCUUGCUUUUGCUUGCUUCAAAGGUUUCAAAUUGUUUCAAAUGGAUGUUAAAAGUGCCUUUUUAAAUGGUUUUAUUGAUCAAGAAGUGUAUGUGGAUCAACCCCCAGGUUUUGAAAAUACAAAAUUUCCAAGUCAUGUGUUUAAACUUUCUAAAGCUUUCUAUGGUUUAAAACAGGCUCCAAGAGCUUGGUAUGAAAGAUUAAGUGGGUUCUUGAUUGAAAAAGGUUUCAAAAGAGGUAUUGUGGACACCACACUUUUUACUAAGCAUGUGUUGAAUGACCUUUUCAUUGUGCAAAUAUAUGUUGAUGAUAUUAUCUUUGGUGCUACUAAUGAGUAUCUAUGUAAGGAGUUUUCCACCACUAUGCAAAAUGAAUUUGAAAUGAGUAUGAUGGGAGAAUUAAAUUUCUUCCUUGGACUUCAAAUACAUCAAACUCUUGAGGGAAUCUUUAUCAAUCAAGCAAAGUAUACCAAGGAAUUACUGAAAAGGUUUGGCAUGGAGGACUCAAAACAAGUUGGAACUCCAAUGUGCACUUCCACAAAGCUUGACAAAGAUGAAGAAGGUAAUCAUGUGGAUGAAAAGCAUUAUAGAGGUAUGAUCGGAAGCUUACUCUAUUUAACUGCAAGUAGACCUGAUAUUAUGUUUGCAGUUUGCUUGUGUGCUAGAUUUCAAUCGUGUCCAAAAGAAUCACAUUUGAAUGCUGUAAAAAGAAUUUUUAGGUAUUUGAAAGGUACAUUAGGCUAUGGUCUUUGGUAUGCUAAAUCCAGUGAGUUUGCACUAUAUGGUUAUUCGGAUGCUGAUUUUGGAGGGUGUCGUGUAGAUAGAAAGAGUACUAGUGGAUCUUGUCACUUUCUUGGAAAUUCUUUAGUCUCUUGGUUUAGCAAGAAACAAAAUGCAAUCUCAUUGUCUACAACCGAAGCAGAAUAUAUUGCCGCUAGUGCAUGUUGUGCUCAAUUUUUAUGGAUGAAGCAUACCCUGAAUGACUAUGGAUUGUUGUAUGACUGCAUGCCUGUAUUCUGUGAUAAUACGAGUGCUAUAAAUUUGACCAAAAAUCCUAUUCAGCAUUCUAGGACAAAGCAUAUUGAAAUAAAGCACCACUUUAUUCGUGAUCUUGUUCAAAAAGGUGAAAUUUGUGUAAAUUAUGUUUGUUCUAAAGAUCAAUUUGCUGAUAUUUUUACAAAAGCUUUGCCAUUAGAUCAAUUCAUUCAUCUAAGAUCAAAAUUAGGAAUGUUCGAAAAAUCAUCAUAAAUUUUUCAUUGCCUUCGGACGUCCGAAAGAGGAUGAAUGGACGUCCGAUGAUGUUCUUCAGCCAUUUUCCAGAUUGCACCUGUUCGGACGCAGCUGUCGGACGCACAACUUCGUUCGGCAGUCCGACAGUGCAACGGCUCAUUUUUUAAAAUAACUUUCUUCCUUAUUUGCUUCAGUCUCUUCCUAUUCUAUCUCUUCUCGGACGAAAACCCUCUCUUCUCUCACUCUCAAAUUCGUACCAUUCUGUAGCUACCAUUCCCAAAUUGACUCAACCAAAACAUUUCCCCAUCGUUUGCGUUUCAUUUCUCCUGAUCAUUUCACCAAACUGAGUAACACUUCGCAAAUCCCCAAAUUUUCCUCACAAUCCUACUCUUGCAUAACCGCUCUGUCAAAUCUCGUUCAAGGUGUUUUUGUCCCAAAAUUUCUGUGCGAUUCACUUCCCUACUGUUGUGUGCAUCAUUUGCAUCCUCCAUUCCACACAUUUAGAACAAUGGUGAAUCUAAGGGGAGGAAAAGUUACUGCCGGACGCAAGCAUCCACUCAGGGAUGAGGAUGAAAAUCUUCCUACUGUCAAACGGACAUCCAAACGCUUCAAAAGGGGAGCUAUCAAGGGUCAAAUGUCACGACCUACUCCACAACCCACUUCUCAACCAGAAUCUGGACAGGGGACCUCUUCUCAACCGCCUCCUAAAUCAGUCCCUCUCCCUCCAUUCUUUGAUGAUGCUGCGAAAGACAAAUACGCCUGGAUAUCUCAGAAGGGUGUCAUCCCUCAAAGAACUGUAAACCCCUCUGAAUUUCGUUCCAUAGGUUUAGAAUCCAUUCUAAGUCUAUUUGAUUUCCAGAAAUGGUCGCAUCUCAUUUCCAUGCCCAAUGUCUACUAUCCUGAUAUGCUGCAUCAAUUUUUUGCUAACCUUAGGAAAGGAACUGACCAAACUGAGAUCAUGUCUAGGGUAAAUGGGGUAGACCUAAUCUUUGAUUCUGAUACUGUGAAUUCCAUUUUAAAGACUACCAUUGAACGUUUGUGCAAAGAUAAGGUUGCUAAUUUCUUUUCUUAUGAAGAGCUUCCUACUGCUGCAAAUCAUUUUGAUGGGACAAAAAUGUUAACUUAUUUCAAAAGAAGUUUUUCUUCACCUGCUGAUGCUAAGUUGAAUGAUUUGGCUCCUGUGAAUUUGAUUGCCUUUUCUAUCAUUUCAAACUUGCUUGUGCCCACUGAUGGCCAUAGAACUGAUGCAAACAAAAUGGAGCUGUAUCUUUUUUACUGUUUUCGAGAAAAAAUUCGGAUUGAUUUUGGCUUUGUCAUGUGCAAGUUUUUACUUCGCUAUGCUACUGACUCUCGAAGAAAACUAUCCUAUGGGAAGUUUCUUCAAAAGAUUUUUGAAUUUUACAAAGUUCCAAUUCUAGGUGUUUGUCCCAAAGAAGCAUCUUCUUAUGCUUUUACCAGAGCAUAUUUUGAAAGGAAAAAUCUUAUUUUUAAAGAUAAUCUGUGGGCAUAUAAGGGGGCAUCAUCUAGUGAACAAAGAUCUAAGACUGUACAUGAUUCUUCACCCAUUUCACUCACUCCCAUUCACCCUAGGAAGUCUACCACUAAAGCAUCUUCCUCUUCCAGUAAUGAGGUAAUUGAGCUUCUUCAUGAACAAAAACAGCAUGUUCUUCUUCUAGAACAUGGCCUAAUGCUCACCAUGUCUUCUGAGCAACAAGCUGCCUUUCUUGAUAAAAAGAACCUUCUUUUUCCUCCACCUGUGGUUGAGGAAGUCUCACAUGACAAAGAACCUCGAACCACUGAUCCAGGUUCAUCAGUUCCAGAUCCGAAUCCAUCAACUCCUGUGACUCCUCAUGGCCCUUCCACAUCAGACAAAGGCAAGGCACCAAUUGAAGAAGCUACUGAAGAUGAUGAAGAAACUGAUGAGGAAGACCUCUCUCAAUAUCAGCUCUCUCGGAGGACUCCUGGAUCCACUUAGUUCAUCAUUUAGGACAUUUGCAUUCUGUUUGUCUCUUUUAUGUGUUUGUGGUAUUCAACAAUGAAUAUGUAUUGUAAUGGAUAUUUUAAGUUUCUUUUGGUAUGAUCUGGUGGAUGUUUAAGUACUGUUUUGAUGAAUGUCUAAAUAUUUUGAUGAAUGAUUGUCUAUUCUGCUUGUGUGAAUGUAAUGAAUUUGUGGAUUGUAUGAUUGUCUAUUGAAUAUGAUUGUCUAUUUUAAGUACUGUUUUGAUGGAUGUGUUGGAUGGUGUCACCAGGAUGUUGAUUUGUGAACUUGUGUAAAUUUGUGACUGUGUGGAUGACAAAAAGGGAUGUUGAUGUUGAUGUGAUUGGUUGCCCUUUUGUGAUGACAAAAAGGGGGAGAUGGUAUAAUGAUUGGAUUGAGUGAUGAUUGGUGAUUGAUGAAUGAUUGGAUUGAGUGAUGAUUGGUGAUUGAUGAUUAGUGAUGUUAGGAUAUGUUGGAUUGAUUGUUUAAAUUUGGAUUGGCUGAUAUGCUUAAUUGUUUAAUGUUUAAUUGUUUAACUCGGAUGGGCAGCCAAGUGAGGGGGAGGUUUUUCAAAAUUUUUAAAUUUUAGGAUUCACUAAGACAGGGGGAGUUUUCAUUUCAAUCAUCAAUUUCAUUUCAAACUUUUGUUUUGUCAUCAUCAAAAAGGGGGAGAAUGUUAUUCUUGGUUUUGAUGAUCACAAAAGUUUGUUUAUACAGACCAAGAAAGUGAACACUUUGAUCAGGUCUGUUGGAACAAAGAAAGCGUAUGUUCGUUUAUCUCCUGACUACGUUGCUUUGGAUGUGGCAAACAAGAUUGGAAUAAUAUGAAUGAAUUUAGUCAUUGUUUUGUUUUCGAUCAAAGAUAUUGUCUUUUAAGUAUGUCUAGUUUGUCAUUCUUGGUACUUUGAAAUAUUUGUCUAACCUUCCUCAAAUACAAGUGUUUUUUUGUCUAUCCAAGAAUCAGAUUCAAAUAUGUCAUGAAAUGUAAAACAACCAAAAUGAGAAGCAAAAACAGGACAAUCAGGUCGGACGGCCGAAAGGAAACUGUCGGACGUCCGAAAAGAUAAAGAACAUCAGGAAGGAAGCACCGUCGGACGCUCACAUGGAAGCAUCGGACGUCCGGAAGGAUCGGACGCUUGCCAUCGGACGUUAAUCAACCGCAUCGGACGUCCGAAAAAUUCCAAGAUAACUUGCUAGCUCUCGGCCCAAGGUCGGACGCUGUGCUGUCGGACGACAAAGAACUUAUCGGACGUCCGAACCUCAACUUGGCUAUCAUCGGACGAUUGGUUCGGACGAUGAUUCGAUCGUCGGACGUCCGACAGCCCCAACGGCUAGUUGACUCUUCAGCUGCCUUCUAUCCGUUGGAAGCAUUGAUGAAACCCAUUUCUGGAUCCCUUUAAAAUCAAACUGGUCUGAACGAAGUAGGGACUUUUGCUCACUUUGUUUACAAGUUCUCAAGGGAUAUUUUAGCUAGAAAAUAGUCUCCAAAGCAGAUUUGUAUUAAAGUGGUGUGAAUUUCUGUUGAGCAUUUCUUUUGUGGUUGAAAGGAUCUUUAGUGUAGCUUUGUUGAGGGUUUUCUGAGUGAUUGUAAAACUUCCUAGCUUGACUAAGUGAGGCUUAGGGCAAGGAGGAAGAGCUCCCUCCAUUGUACAUCUAGUUGAUCUUCGUUCAUCAAAGAGAAGUUGCUCUUCCUAGUGUUUAGUCUUCAAGUUUGGGUAAAGCUUGGUAGACACUUGGUUUGUUUCUCUAUUUUAUAUUUCUGUUUAAUAAAAUCUUCAUUGCUUAUCUAUACUUGCUUCUCUGAUUAAUAUUGCUAUUGUCUUCUAAUCUACUUGGUUGAUCAUUACUAAAAAGGAAGGUAAAUUUUCAUUAAAGAAAAAGUGCAUAAACUUGGUUAAGUUUUUAAUCAACCAAUUCACCCCCCCUCUUGGUUGUCUGUGGGACUUACAUAAAGCAUAGUAAAAUUUUAAACUAACACCUAGAAAAUAGCAAUCAUUUUGGAAACAAAUCCUGAGAUUUAUUAUAAUAUCACUUAACUUCUCUGAAGUUUUUAAAAUCUUACUUUCUUCCCCUGCCAACUUGGGAAGAUCAAGUGUUUCUAUCAAAGGUCACAAAUUUACAACAAUUACUGUUGCACUCUUUAUGACUAUUUAAUUGAAAAACCAAAACAAGAAGAGAAUUUUUAAAAGACCAAAAACUAAAGAUGAGAAAGAUAACCAAAUUGCUAUCCAAUAUUGGUCUAUAUUUCUUUGUAUCAACGUGGUGGUGGAAUAGUAAAAGACAUGGAUAAAUUAAAUUCUAGUUAAAGACAUGGGUAAUUUUUGUAGAAAAGUUUUGAGGAAAUCAAGAAAUUCUUUUAGAAAAUAUGUUCUAAUAUAGGAUAUAAUUUAAGUUAUACUAAAAAUUAAAAUAACCUCUUCAUACAUGUGGUUUGUAAUAUAAAUCCUACUUAUAGAAAAAAAAUUAUAUAAAUAAGUCAGAAUUUAAAAAAUUAGUCAAAAAUGUUCUAAUGACCAAAUAUAUAUCUAGGAAUAUUCUUUUUUUUUUGUUAGAACAUGAUUUGUUAUACAAGGUAAUAGUUAUUGUACAUCUACAAGAUUAUUCGUUAUUGCAUUUAUAGUUGCUCAUAUUUUCAACUUUUUACUUGUUAAAUUUAUUUUAUUUUUUAUUGUUGUUGUACGCUUAAUAAGUAGGAUAGCAUAAGAGUAGUAUUAGAACAAAAAUUUUAUCUUUCUUGCAUUUCCUUCAAAGGGACUAAAAUGUUAUGAAAAAUAUGAAUCCAAGAGAGGUAUGUGAGAUUUUAAAAAUUGAAAGAGUUCUAAGUGAUAUUUUGAGAAAUGUCAUGCGAGGUUUCCGAAAUCAUUUCCGACUUAUUAGUAUUGGACCAUUGGUAGGCUGUGUCGGACGAAGCAAAUCACAUGUCAAAUUUCAUUUGAUUUACGGCUGGAAGGCUAAGGAAGCUGUAGGUCCUGAAGCAAAAUUAGAUGGUUGCCAUAAAACAACAAAUCUUUUUAAAGGUUUUUUUUAACUAAAUAAAAUAUUCCCUCUCAAAUUAGUUUUCUUUUUCCAAAUUUCAGUUAUGUGAGUAAAUGAAAGCUUUUACAACCAUUAGUUCUUUUAAAAUAUUUUAAAGCGUAACUGCAUGUACACAUUCUAUAUUCAUUUGCCUCUUCUUCAGUUUUUAUACUCCAUCUAGGAUGUCUAAUCAUAAUUCCGUAAAAAAUUAAAAAACUAUAUAUAUUUUUCUUUAUAAUUAGUCAAUUAUAAAUUAGUAAAGUUCUAAUCAAUUUCAUCCAUUAUCUAACUUGCAAGAAAGGAAUAGAUAUCUCCUAAAUACAAAGUUCAAAAGGAAUUUCUAGUCUUUUAUAAUCACGUUCACAUGAUGUUUCGGUGGAUAUCCAUUUGUCCAUUUUCCGUUACAGAAACUUUACUUAUUACAAUCUUUUCUUUACACUCCUCUAAAAUAGUAUGAAGUAUUACCAUAAUUCUUAACAUAAUUAAAAUAGUAUUAAUUAUUCUUAAUAACUUUCAAAGUAUGUUUUAUGUUUAGUGUCUUACAUUCAUUAAAUUUAUUGUUUUAGUUCAUUAAAAUUCGAAGAUAAAAAGAAGUUAAUGCAAAUGCACGGCUGAAUAACUGGUGGUCUAAUUCUAUUGCUUGCUUAUCCACAAGAAUGACCACACCAACACUACAUUAAUACACUCAUAUUUCUUAAUUACUUGCAUUACUUAUUCUUUCUUCCCAACAAUUCUACAGCCCAUCAUCAUCAUUCCAAUUUUAAUUCAAUAAUCUUCAUACAACUCUGAACAUAUAACUACAUUUAAUAUAAAUUCGUGUCAUUCCUGCAUUUCAAUUCUCAAAAUCUUAUGGCAUGCCUUACUUUAUAAUGGUGUUUAAUUACUUAAGUUCAUAAACAAUCAUUAGUAUCAAAAUCAUAAACUUGUAUCGCACAAUAGGAUGCUCUUCGCAUCAUUAUCAGAAGUAAUUUCAAUUUCUUCGCAUAGUUUGUUUGCCCCAUCACUUAAGCACGGCAAGAAUUUUUUUUUAAAAAAUUUUAAAUAGCUGCAACAAGUUAUUAACAAAAGAUAUUAUGCUAGCUCUAAUACUAUGACGCUAUUCCCGUUCCUCUAGAGGAUUUUUCAGUCAACAAACUCCUUCAACUCCCUUCCUCAAGUUCUUUCUAGGGUUCUUUCUAUUUGUUUCUGUAAUGCAUUUUUUUGACAAAUUUUCAAUCCUAGUAUUUUCUCAGUAGAAGUAUCUUUCUUGCUUAGUGAGAGUUUUUGUUUUUUGUUUUUUUAGUUUUUAUUAGAUUUAAGUUUAUUCAAGUCUAAACUUUCUCGUAGGGCUUGAAAAUCUGUCCGGGGAAGGCUUACAAAUCAUUUACAACUACAGAGAUUUAUAUGCAUUUAAUUGUAAGAAAAUUGGGAGCUUUCUAGUAUUUUUUUUGUUAUUGGUUUCUCUGAUUUGAAGGAAGUCACUUCUAUUUGCAUUUCCAUUGCGUCUUUUUCAUAUAUUUGCUGCUAUUUGUACAACUUUUCUGUGAUUAAAUAAAAUUCCCUUCCUCGUUAAAAUAAAUGAAAGAAAAUAUGAAGGAGAAAUUAAAUUGAUCUAAUUGACAAUAUGUCUUUAUAACUAGAUGCCUUCUCAGAUAUUCUCAAAAACUUCCAUACUCUAACUAUCAUUAUUUUACCACAAUAGUACUUCUUUAACAAUUACUAGCAUUUCUAUGUUAUCAUUUGAACUGCUUCCUUUCCAUCUUUGGUACACUUAAAUUUGCAAUUAUCUCAUGAAAUUCUUAAAUUCAGUAACUUUCAACUACAUGUUAUGAUGAGAGAUAUUUGUUUGACAUGAUAUAAACCUAAUAAGAAAAGAAUUCAAUUUGAUAACACACGUAAGACAAUAUAUAUAGGUCCAUGUACAUAAACCAAAGAACAAAAUUAUAUCAAUUCAGUAAGCACAUUUAAUAAUAUUCCCUGGAGCCUUAAAGCAUAAGUUAAACAUUUUAUCUGGAAAUGUCUCCUAAGAAUCUUAUACGUGAUGAAGUAAUUAGGCAGAGAACUGGGAAACGGAAAGACUCGAGCAUAUGCGUUUUUUUUUUUUUUUUUUUUUUUGUGAAAUUGCAUAACAAAUAUGGUAAGUAGCACCAAUCCAGUGGGAUGGCCUAUUAUAAGUGCAUAUUUUGCAUGUUUUAAGUGUGUUUUAUUAUUUAGUUUUGGUGUGUUUUAACUACAUUUAUAGCUACUUAACUAAAUUUCUAGUGAAAAUAUGCUUAUGGUUAAAAUUUUAAAAAUUGCAUUUCUAUGGAUUUUAAUAGCGAUAACUUUAUUUUUUUUAUAGGUUUAAUAGUUCAAUCAUCAAUUGGAGUGAAUUGAAAAUAUACUUGGAUGAUUAUUGAUGAUUUCAAGUUGUUUAAAGAAGACAUGAAGUGCAAAAAUGAAAUGCAAACAAGAACAAAAGAAAGAAAGUUUUACAACUUUGACACCUUGUGAUAUUUCGGCUAUAUCUUGCACUACAAACAUCAGAUUGAGAUCAUUAUUAAGCAUUUGAAGCUAAGAGAUAUAUCUAUAUUUGUUAUGAAGACAUCAAAGUGCAAUUCAAUUUUUUUCUUUUUCAAAAAGUCGAAAUAUAGAAGUGCAAUUCUAUUGUCAAAUCUGUAGCAGAGUCUUGACCAGGUGAUGAAAUUUUGGUCAUUUCUCAAUCCACAGAGCUUCAAAUUGGAUGAUUCCUAAUGCAUUGAAAAGCUAACUCAAAAAGUUACAAUUUUUAUGUUUUGCACAAGAACUAGUUCAGCCUCCAUCAUCAAGAAAAAAUCAGUGAAAGUUAGGAAAAGCAGAGAAAGUAAAUUCGAGUUCGGAUAUAAACUAAACCCGACCUCGGAUAAACUUCUGUAAUCGGAGGCUACAUCUAAGAGGAAGAUCCGAGCUUGGAUCCCCAUGUUAUAGGCCUCAGAUCCUAAUGUGUAGUGAAGAUAAAAAUGGAGAAAACUGAAAUCCAAGGAGUAUUUAGAGCAAUCGAACCUCGGAUCCCCAAUUGCGAAUCUGCAACUUGUGCUCCAUUCACACAACCUUUUUUAUCACUUUUUCUACAAAGAUUCUGGCUGGAAAUGAGCAUAUGAGCAUGGAAGUUUUGAGAAGAAACCUUUGAGAUUUUCAAGAGUCGAAAUGCUAACUAGAAACAACUCAUCUUGAGCUUUAAUCUUUCUAUAAAUAGAGGCCUUGGAAAAUAUUUUUACAACUUUGGAAGGCUAGAAAAACUCACCAACAAUGUAGUCUUUACUAGAAUUUCCUUAGUUUCUUAGUUAGAGUAGAUUAGUAUAGUUAGGCUAGUUUAUCCACUCUUAUAUAAUGGUAAGAUUAGGAUGAAGAUGGAGAUGAAAAAGGAGAGGAUAAAACUCAUGUGACAAGGGCUAUCUCUUCUCCAUUAUCUUUUACAUUGGAUUCUUAAAUAUGGUUAAUAUGCAAGUUUUGGAAUUUGUUUUCAUGUUUUGCUAAAGUUUAUACCUAGAGUUAUGAAUGAACUUUUUAUAUCUUACUAGUGAUGUUUAUUUGGUUAUUUGAUGAUGUUAUUUUGAACAAGUUAUUUAUCACUUUUGCUUAUCUAAUCAUGAUUAGAUAAGCAAUUAAUUAUGAUAAUCUUAAAGUGUUAAAUUUGUAAUGAAAAUUGAAAUUUAGCACUAGUUCAAGAAAGUGAUAAACCUAUGGAAUACACUCACGAAAGUAGAGGUGCAACUUUGUAACUUUAGUGACUUGUUUCAUGUAAUUUCAUAGAAGAAAUGAGUUUGUAGUUAGUUUCAUAACUACGAAAAUAGGUAUGAAUUAACUAUUGGUAUAGUUGGUAUAUCGGUGAAAGCACGUAUCACGUAUAUUAGGAAAUUAUGUCAUAACUAGUCAAGAUAAUAGUAACUUAACCGAUAAUUUCAUUUGUAAAAGUAGUAAGGAAUUCCAUACCUCUAGGAGCUUUAUAUUGUCAUUUUUAUUACUUUUAUCUCAUGUUUGUAGUGAAAUUUUAAUUUCUUGCGCUUAUGAUAGUAUAAAUAAUAAAGGAGUUCAAAAAUCAUCGGUAAUUGACAAUCUUUCCUAUGGGAUCGAUACCUAAUACCCCUAUACUCAAUAAACGACUUGUAUACUUGCGAAAAAUCGUGUGUGGAGUAUUUAAAAUUAUAUAAAUGUAGAACUUGAAUGUGGAUAAACCAAUUAUUAUAUAUAUAUAUCCGGCGUUCAUUAGCUCUCUGCCAUUGAUGAGGGGAAUUGAUAGAAGAUGCUAAGAGGUAAGACGGCAGAAAACGCAUUGCUUUGAACUGUAAACUUGUGCAGAUUUGCGUGGCCAUGACACUACUUGGACGGUCGGACCAUUCAGUACUGACAGACCGUGCUGUAAGAAAGAGUGACAUCCACAGUCAACUCAAGGGCGGAGCCAUGUUAGAGAUCAAUAAUCAGAGGCUUGCAAAAUUUCGUAAUUUUUCAAUUUAGCUCACAUUUGCACUGACAAAUUUUGUAAAAAUUUCCUUUUGCUCUCGCAUUGCCCCUUAAAACAGCUAACGUAUUGGAAACGUAGAAUGGACCAGCUAAAUAACCAAGAUGCCACUGAUCACAAUAAUUUGCAUAGUGAGUUAUUGAGUGACUUCCCCGCCUUUGCUCAUUAUAAAUGCCGGCCCCCUCCACAUUCCAAACAUACUCAACCAGCUUCUGUGCUAUAUUUUGCUAUCUUCUGCCACCACCACUGCUCCCACAAAAUGGAAAGCUUUUCUCCCACUUGGGCUGCGUAUGCACUCGAAUCAUACGAACAUAUUUGGGUGGAAGAAAUGAAUUCACUUCUGCAGCAGCUAUUCAAAUCAUUGGGCAAGCCUGUCGUGUUGAAAGAUUAUCUUUCAAUAGGGAGUUUCAAGGUGAUUAGUAGGAUGAUCUUGGGGGAAAACAUACAUUGAUGAGUCUUAGAACUCAAUUGUCAUGCACGAAGAGUUCAGGCAAAUGAUGGACGAGCUAUUUUUGCUGACUGGUAUGUCUAACAUUGGUGAUUCCUUACCUUGGAUCGAUUCCUUGGAUUUGCAGGGGUAUAUCAAAAGGAUGAAAAUCAUGAGCAAGAAAUUUGAUAGGCUUCUGGAACAUGUUCUCGAUGAGCAUAAUGCCCAGAGGGAGGAUGAAGUUGAUUGUGUCAACAAGGACAUGGUGGACGUCCUUUUGGACCUUGCAGAUGAUCCCACUUUUGGAGGUAAAGCUAGAGAGGCAUGGAGUCAAGGCAUUGACUCUGGUAUAUGUUACUUACAAACUGCAUAAUGUGUGCUGUCAAGUUUUAAACGCCUAAAAACUUAGAAAGUAGUCAAUGAUCUUUUGAACUUGAAUACUCCCCAAAAUUUUCUUUGCUACAAAAAACUUGAGAGAAAAUAGUCAGAAUCUUUUGAGUUUGAUGAAAAUUUUUCAAUGGAGUCAGAAUUAACAAGAAAAUUUCUUUUUAAUCCUUCAAAAAGAAAUUGCUUUUGCUAAACGUACUCAAAUAAGUUAGUGACGAGUGCAGGGUAUACAUAUGAUAGGGUGUUAAUUGUUAGUAAUUUUAUUGUUAAUUUUCCCUUUUAUCUUUGUCAAAUAUUGUUUUAAUUAUUAAUAUUUACUUAUAUUUGGUAUUGGAGCCAAUUUCAGGGAAUGAAGCAGAAAACUACAAAAAAGAAGGGACUUUCUGAAGAUAAUUGAGACUUCAAAUAAGCCACAGACCUGGCCCACAUGGUGAUAUACGCGGACUGCAUUUCUUUUUUGCGGAUUAGGAGUAUCUUGGAGUGUUGAAGUGUUUGACUAUCAAGAGGAAACUAAAGAAAGAAGGACUUCAGAGAACUUCACUUUAUGUACACUCCUUUCUCAAUUUGUGCGAGGACCACGGAAAGAAGAAAGGCAUUAGUCAUUUGAAUUGAAAGGAAACAAACGUGCAAAGAGUUGUCUUUGUUCCUUAUUCGUGGGGACCACUGGAUAGAUAGCUUGAGUCAUUUCCUUUUGGCUAUAUAAGGACAAUAGUAAGAAAGACUAUGGAGAGUUUUUUUAAUAUAGUUUAGUUUUAUUCUUUCUUGGUUCCUUUGAUGGCCUGGACCUCAGUUAAAUUACUUGGAGAUUUUCUCAUGAUACGUGGCUAAGUUUUCCUAGUCGAAGGUCAAUUUGAGGACUCGGUUUCGAACAUCUGUGAGAUCUAAUUAUUUUAUUUACUUCUUUUAUUUAUUGGUAUUUGUGCGUUUUCUGAUUUAAUUGCUUAUGCUUGUUAUGUUAUUUGAAUGUCAAGGGCCCGAUAUUCGAAUUAACCUAAUGAUCUAAUGCCAAAUUAAUUGAUUGAAUCCGUAAUUGUUCAAUUGAUUAAUACCAGUGGCGACUAGCGUGAUUGGUUUCAUGUUAGGGAAACGUAUGAUCUAACUUAAACAAACCCUCGUAGCGUGUUUGUUGGUUAGGAUUGGGCUUUUCUAAUUAUUAAUGCAAUCGAGUAAUUCAAUCCUAUUGUCGUACCUAGGGUUAUUUCUUGGUUAGAGAAAUAGUUAACGGUCGUACCUUAACUAUCGAGAAAUUAAGGAAAGACUGGUUGUUCAUCGCGUGUAUGGCAACUAUAACCAAUUUAUUAAUAAGUAAUUGAAUUAUCUUUGCGUCGAUGAUCAGUUGCAUGGACCGUAUCUGAAAAGUUGCACCUUUGGCUAGAGUCAUAUUGGUUAUUGAUUAAUUUCUAUUAGUUGUUUUAUUGGUUAGUUAAUUAGUUAUUUUAUAUUCUCCAAAAAAACCCCACAUACUUUGGACUUUAAAAUAAACGAAUUAUCCCCAGUCCCUGUGGAUUCGACCCUACUUAUCACUAUCUACAGAAAUUAUAUUUUAUUUAAGUAGGUAUUUAUUAUUGCACAGGUUUGACACCCUGUCAAUUUUUGGCACCGUUGCCGGGGACUGGUGUCAGAUUAAUUUGUUUCUUUUUGAAUUCAUCUUGUUUUCAUUUUUUUUUAUUUUUCUCUUAUUUUUUUAUAUAUAGUUUAUGACUUCUAACACUCCGUAUUUUGGUGAUAGACUGGAUUUUGUUUCCAGGGAAGACAAUGAGGCUUGUUUUUUUUUUUUCUAAAUUUGCAUAUUCAGAGGCACUAAACUCUCUUAUUGAAAGAAUGGCUGAUGCAACCUGUGGAAUUUGUUAUGUCAGGGAUCAUUCAACCGGUAUGUGCCCCGAAUAUCAAGACUACCUGAGUGAUUAUCUCACAAAAAAAUUUGGAGAUUCUUCACCUCGAUCUCAAACGUGGUAUGACUCUUAUUCAAACGGGUAUGAUCAAGGAUGGUGGGAUAACUCCAGUUAUAAUUAUACAACAGGGUCAAUGAAUUUUCAGCAGUAUGAGUCUCAAGAAUCAUCAUCUAUGUCAGGUAUGUCUUUUGAAGAAAUAGUUGAAUCAAUAGCUACUAAUACAUAUCAAUUCCAACAGGAGACACAAAUGAGAAAUGGGAUGAUGAAGGAUGCAAUGAGUAAUCUGGCAGAUCAAAUAUGUCUAUUGACAUCUAGAAUAAAUCGAUUGGCUUCUCAAAUUGAAAAAUUGCCCUCGAAAAUCAUUGUUGAUUUUGAAGAAAAUGAGAGUUCAAUUUGCUUGACUAGUGAUGAGGAGAUGCAAGAGUGUCAAAAUGAGAGAUCUACAGAUGCAGUUUAAAAAGAAGUCGAAAAGGAAGAAAUGGAACCCCAACCGCAACCCAUUCAAGUGAAAGAAUCCAGUGAAGAAUCAUCAAAUGUGGUGACACCACCUCCAUUCCCUAACCCGCAUUUUCUUAACUCUUACUCUAUGAUUUCUGUUAAUGAGAUUGAUUUUGCUAUACCGAAAGUUUUUGAGUCUCAUGGCAGAAAUAAGUUAAGAGUAGCUAUGGUCAAAUAUCUUGAACCGUUGAGUGCUCUUGAUGAAGGAGUGGAUGAAGAAUUGAGAUCACUGCUUGAUUAUUUGGCGCCAUCAACUAGUCCAUGGAAGACCGUAGCUCGUGUGCUCAAGGAUUACUCUAUUUACGAGGGCUAUCAGGACUAUAUAGAGGAUGAAGCAUUGAAACGAGUCACAAGAUUUUGUCCUCCCUAAGCAAACAUGAUAAUAUCUAGCCAAAAACGUUAAAGAAAGGCGCUUUUUGGGAGGCAACCCAAAUAUUGAUUUUAUUGUUUUUCGUUGUUAAAUUCUUUAAUUAUGCCGUUUCUUAUUUAGGUUGUGGUCGGUUUUAAUGUUUUCCUCCACUGUGAUCAGGACAGCAAUCUUGGCGUGCCCACGCGGUGUUUAUAACUCCUGAAGUCAGUGGACAUUUACCAAUCUUGGCGUGCCCACGUCAUGUUUGACGACCCAAAAGCUAAGAAAAAAAAAUUUAUUAUUUAUUUAUUUAUUAUUAUUAUUAUUUCUAAAAAAACAAAAAGGAUUAAAGUAUUUUAGCAAUUACAAUUUUCGAAAUUUGAAUUCAAAAAGGAAAAAAAAACUGAAAAAAAAGAAGAAAAAAAAAACAAAAAUCCACAAAAACUAUUUUUUCUUUUCUUUUUCUCCUUUCUUUCUCUUUUCUUCUUUUCUUCUUUCUUCUUUCUUUCUUUUUUUUCCUUUUCUUUCUUUCUUCCUUCUGCCCCCGCUGCUUUCCCUUUUUCCCUUUUUCCUUCGUUUCUUCCUCCAUUGCCGCCGCCGAACCCAGCUUCCUAGCACGACUACCACCUCGCAGCUCUACCGCGCGCCAGCCCGCCGCCAACCGUCGCUGCCCGCUUCUCCCACCCGCUACCAGCUCGCGGCCAAGCUCCUCUACCGCGCCUCCAGGCCGUCGCCCUGCUCCGCGAGCUCCACCGCACACGCCCCUCCCUCUCCAGCUCCACUUCACCCACAGACCACGGCCGCACUCUUCUCACCUAGCGUCCUACCACCAUCGCAAGCUCCACCCCAGCUUACCACCACCACCUCCCUCUGCUCUCUCUCCACUUCACACCAGAUCACGGCCAAUAGCUCCUCCUCGCAGCCCCCAGCUCCUCCACUAUAGCGACUCCGUGCGCUCCGCCGCUGCUCCACUGCUCCACCACCCAUGGCCAUCUGCUUGGUGUCUCUGGCAUGCAACAGAGGUACUUGUUUUUCCCAAUUUAUUGGCUAAUUUUCUAAGGUAAAUCACUUAUAUUUGGGGUACUAUUUCUAGAAUAGAUCUCUAGAGUGAAUUGGACACAGGCUUUGGGGUCUAUGUUGAACUUUGGUUUUCGGGUCCCUGCUAAAUUAUUUUACUGAAUUUUUUAUUCCCUAUGACUGUUGAUUUAAGUUGCUAAAUUAUUCGGGCCUCUGCUGAAUAUUAGUUGGCAGAGUUGUGCAUUUAUUUGUUCAGUCCAGCAACUAUAAUACUUAGUGCAUUGAUUGCUGAUUCAUGGUCGUAGUUACUAUCCCAAUUCAUUCAUUUGGGACUUCUUUUAGCCCUUGAGAUUGAUAUUUUCUGGACUCUCUGAUAGCUAUUUUAUUUGGAAGUUAUCGGGGGUUGACUUUGGGGUUUUGCUGCUUUUGUUGGGCGUUUGUUGUGAUUUUGGGUUGGGCAUUUAGUUGCUGUUUCUGUACACCAUCGGUUGCGAUUUCUAAGAGGUUCUUGUGGCUGAUUUAAUUUUGCUCUGAUUCCAUUUUUGUUGUGCACCAUUGACUAUUGGGCUUUUGUGCUUAAAGUGUUGCUCCUGCUAGAUCUCCGAACUGUUGCUGGAGUUACCAUUUUCUUGGAUCAAAUACUGAUUUUGGCAGGUUGAAUUGGGGAAUUGACUGUCCAAUUGGAGGCAGCUGUUACCAUUUUGGGACCAAUUGUGUCUAUUUUGCUGUGAUUUGUGUCUAAUUGUGGGUAAUUUGCUUGUUAAAUUGGGAGGUGCCUAUAACGCUUAAAUUUGCUUAUUGAAGUUAGUUGCCUCUGAUUGCCUUGUUUAGGAGCAUUUUAUCCUUUUGGUUUCCUUUACUAAGCUAUUUGGAGCACUUGUUGCAUGAUUGGACUGCCUUGAUUCUGAAUUUGACUACAUUUGGACCACAGGGGCUCAUUGAUUGCAUUUGUUAUUAGUGUUGAGGUAUUCGUAUAACCUGUGGGUGAUUGAAUUGUGCCUAUUGUUCAUUGGGUUGGUUUUAAACAAAAAAUUGUUAUUACUUUAAAAUUCCUGUUUCCAUUAUUUGUUGGCAAUUGUAGUCCCUUGUGAUUAGAGUGACAUCUAGAGAUCAUGGUAAGGCCAAGAUCCGCUUCUAGGUUAAGGACACCUAGACACUCGCAACCUCCUCCUACCCCAGGGGCUGACGAAUGGCACCAGGUCCAGAUGCGAGUUGAGCGACUAGCGACUCGGAUGACCCACAUUGACGUCAACCUGCAUCACAUGCGCAGAAUUUGGCAGCAUUUAUGCCCCAUGCAGGCCUUGAUCCUCAAUUUCCACCUGAACCGCCCCUGUUUUGAUGAUUUCAAGGAAGUACCGUUGCCCCUCUCUUUUCUUCUGUUUUUACAUUAUCACAUUGAGGGCAAUGUGUGACUUAGGUGUGGGGGGGUCAGUUUGGGUGCUAGUAUUUUUAGUUUUUAGGUUCUAGAGGUUUUUCCUUUGUUUUAGUUUGAUAUUUAUCUCCUUUUUCGUUUAUUUUCUUUUCUUUUCUUUUUCUAGUGGUCAGUCUUCAUAUGAAUACCAAGUUUGAUGCUGGAUUGUUGUCUCUAAUUCUGCUAUUGCCAAGUUUAUUAAUAAAAAGGUAUCAAGUUGAUGUGGUUGAGUUCAGGAACAUCUCUUUGGUGAAUAUCAAUAAUUACUUAACUUUUCCAAUUUUUGGUUAAUUUUUCUAGGCAUAGGGAAUGAUUGUUGGCAUUUUUCAUGUGAAUUGGUCCAAUUAUUAAUUUUUGUUCUCCAUGUCUGGAAAUUUGAGGCUGGCUGCUGUUAUUCUUGUGUUGCUUUUAGAUAUCGUGCUACAUGGUUGCAAAUAAGAGUGACUGUACACCGCUAGUGGUUACUACUGAGUAACCGGGGAUCUUCACUUGAAGUGUUGAUUUUCGUGUCAAAAGGUAGUAGUUGCUAUCAGUGCGUGGUCCCGUAGCAAUUGGAGCUGAGUAACCGGGCUCCUCCUCUAGCAAAUGUUGGAGUUCGCGUCAAAAGACUCUAAGGGCUAUAGACUAAGUCUUUUGUUAUUCAAAAAAAAAAAAAGAACAAAAAAAAAUGAGGAAAAAGAAGUGAAGUAAAGAUUGUGUUAGUAUGUGAAUAAGUCAGCUUGCCGGUUUGUGAUCUUAAUGUCGAGAUUUUGGUUAAUAGCUGGACCAUUUACUGAUAAAUGUGAGCAACCAUUCCUUUUUCUUAGAUUAGUUUGCUUUAAAUUGGAGGAGUUGGUGGUUGGGAAGCUAACCGGAGUGGUCUUUCUUGGAUCUUAACUGUGAUGCGUGAUAUAUGUUUUUCUAGGUAUUUUGGCAAUAUGAUAGUUAGAGCAAUAGCCAUUGUCAAAUUUUGGUGUUCAAGUGCUGUUCUUAUGCUUGAGGGCAAGCACGAUUUAGUGUGGGGGGAAUUGAUAGGGUGUUAAUUGUUAGUAAUUUUAUUGUUAAUUUCCCCUUUUAUCCUUGCCAAAUAUUGUUUUAUUUAUUAAUAUUUACUUAUAUUUGGUAUUGGACCCAAUUUCAGGGAGUGAAGCAGAAAACUACAAAAAGGAGGGACUUUCUGAAGAUAAUUGAGACUUCAAAUAAGCCACAGACCUGGCCCACAUGGUGAUAUACGCGGACUGCAUUUCUUUUUUGCGGAUUAGGAGUAUCUUGGAGUGUUGAAGUGUUUGACUAUCAAGAGGAAACUAAAGAAAGAAGGACUUCAGAGAACUUCACUUUAUGUACACUCCUUUCUCAAUUUCUGCGGGGACCACGGAGAGAAGAAAAGUCAUUUGAAUGGAAAGGAAACAAACGUGCAAAGAGUUGUCUUUGUUCCUUAUUCGUGGGGACCACUGGAUAGAUAGCUUGAGUUAUUUCCUUUUGGCUAUAUAAGGACAAUCGUAAGAAAGGCUACGGAGAGUUUUUUUAAUAUAGUUUAGUUUUAUUCUUUCUUGGUUCCUUUGAUGGCCUGGACCUCAGUUAAAUUACUUGGAGAUUUUCUCAUGAGGCGUGGCUAAGUUUUCCUAGUCGAAGGUCAAUUUGAGGACUCGGUUUCGAACAUCUGUGAGAUCUAAUUAUUUUGUUUAUUUCUUUUAUUUAUUGGUAUUUGUGCGUUUUCUGAUUUAAUUGCUUAUGCUUGUUAUGUUAUUUGAAUGUCAAGGGUCCGAUAUUCAAAUUAACCUAAUGAUCUAAUGCCAAAUUAAUUGAUUGAAUCCGUAAUUGUUCAACUGAUUAAUACCAGUGGCGACUAGCGUGAUUGGUUUCAUGUUAGGGAAACGUAUGAUCUAACUUAAACAAACUCUCGUAGCGUGUUUGUUGGUUAGGAUUGGGCUUUUCUAAUUAUUAAUGCAAUCGAGUAAUUAAAUCCUAUGAUCGUAGUUAGGGUUAUUUCUUGGUUAGAGAAAUAGUUAACGGUCGUACCUUAACUAUCGAGAAAUUAAGGAAAGGCGCGUGUAUGGCAACUAUAACCAAUUUAUUAAUAAGUAAUUGAAUUAUCUUUGCGUCGAUGAUCAGUUGCAUGGACCGUGUCUGAAAUGUUGCACCUUUGCCUAGAGUCAUAUUGGUUAUUGAUUAAUUUCUAUUUAUUUCUAUUAGUUGUUUUAUUGGUUAGUUAAUUAGUUAUUUUAUAUUCUCCAAAAAAUCCCCCAUACUUUGGACUUUAAAAGAAACGAAUUAUCCCCAGUCCCUGAAUUAUCCCCACUAUCUACAGAAAUUAUAUUUUAUUUAAGCAUGUAUUUAUUAUUGCACAGGUUUGACACCCUGUCAACAUAUAACAAUUAGUUCAUUUCACAAUCAAAUUUUAUAUUUAUAACAUUCUAAAUUCCUUAGAAGCGAUUUUUUUGCAAGUGCAUGAGUUGUGAUUGAGUAUAUGAUAUUAAGGGUCGAACCUACAGGGAAGAUUUUCAAAUAUUAUGGAUUUUCGAACUCCUUUAUUAUUUAGAUUAUCAUAAGUGCAAGAAAUUGAAUCUACACUAUAAAUAUGAAGUAAAAGUAUUAAAUAUAACAAUAGGAAACUCCUAAAGGUAUGGAAUUCCUUACUACUCUUGCCAAUAAAAUUACCGGUUAAUUGAAUGUUAUUAUCUUGGUUAGUUAUAGCGUAAUUUCCUAAUGUAUGUAAACCUACUCUCGAAGUGAAUCAAUUAUAUUUAUAGGUAAACCAUACUUACUCUCGUAGUUAUAAAAUUAAGUAUAAGUUCAUUUCUUCCAUGAAAUUAUAUGAAACAAGUCACUAAAGUCACAUAGGUGCACCUCUACUCUCAUGAAUGUACUCCCUAAGUUUAUCAUUUUCUUAAACUAGUAUUAAAUUUCAAUUCUCACUGCAGAUUUAAUACCUUAAUAUUAUCACAAUUAAUGGCCGAUUAAUCGUGAUUAGAUAAGCAAAGUGAUAAAAUAACUUGUUCAAAAUAAUAUCAUCAACUAACAAAAUAAACACCACUAACAAAAUAUAGGAAGUUCAUCGAUAACUCUAGGCAUAAACUUUAACUAAAUAUGGAAACAAACACCAAACUUGUAUUAUAGCUAAAUAUAAAAUCAAAUACAAAAGAGAAAGUGUUAGGAGAGAAGUCACCCUUGUCGCAUGAGAUCCAACUCUCCAUCUUUGCUUUUCAAAUCUUCAUUCAAAUCGAACUACAAACACAAAAAGGAUAAACUACACUAACUAUACUAUACUAAUGAACUAAGAAAAACUAAUGAAAACUAUAUUUUUGUGGAGUUUCUCUAGUCUUCCAAAGUUAUCAGAAUGUUUCUCAAAAGCUGCUAUUUAUAGAGAAUUCAAGCUCAAUAUGAGUUGUUUCUUAAUUGGCAAGUUUGGCUUUUGAAUUUACCAAGAAUUAUUUUCCAAGUUUCCACACUUUUCUUGGUCAGAUACAGCCUUACUGGAAUUGAGUUGGAAAGUUGUGUGAACAAAGAACAAGUUGCAACCGAAAAUGAUGAAUAUACGAUGACGUGCGCGGGGUAUACAUAUACAAUAAGUUUAUCCACAAUCAAGUUUUAUAUUUAUAAUUCCUAAAUAUCCUACACGGGAUUUAUUGCAAGUAUACGAAUCGUGAGCGAGUAUAGGGUAUUAAGGGUCGAUCCCACAGGGAAGAGUGACAAUUAUCGGUGUUUUUUGAAUUCUUUUAUUAUCUCAACUACCAUAAACAUAAAAUUAAUGAAAAUAAAACUAGAAAACUCCUAGAGAUAUGGAAUUCCUUACUACUCUUGCAAAUGAGAUUACCGGUUAAGUGAAUGCUAUUAUCUUGGUUAGUUAUGGCGUAAUUUCGUAAAGUAUGUGAAACCUACUCUCGUAGUGGAUCAACUAUACUUGUAGUUAUACUAUACCUACUCUCGUGGUUAUGAAAUUAACUACAAUCUCAUUUCUUUAUGAAAUUACAUGAACAAGUCACUAAAGCCACAAAUGUGCUCCUUUACUCUCGUGAGUGAAAUCCCUAGGUUUAUCACUUCCUUGAACUAGUGUUAAACUCCAAUUCUCAUUGUAAACUUAAUACCUUUAGAUAAUCACAAUUAAUGGUCUAUUAAUCAUGAUUAGCUAAGCAAAAGUGAUGAAUAACUUGCUCAAAAUAAUAUCAUCAAAUAACCAAGUAAACAUCGCUAACAAGAUAUAGAAAGUUCAUCCAUAACUCUAGGCAUAAACUUUAGAAACACAUAUAAAAACAUAAAUCGAAACUUAUAUUAUAGAUAAACAUGAAUUCAAAUACAAAAGAGAAAGUGAUAGGAGAGAAGUCACCCUUGUCACAUGAGCUCCAACUCUCCAUCUUUGCAUCUCCAAUUUUCAUCCAAAUCUAACUACAAAAACAAGAUGGAUAAACUACACUACCUAUAUUAUAUUACUCUAACUAAUGAACUAAGGAAACUCUAGUGAAAGUUACAUUUUUUGUGAGUUUCUCUAGCCUUCCAAAGUUUUUUAAAAUGCCCUCCAAAAGCUUUUAUAUAUAGAGGAUUCAAAAGCCAAAUGAGUUGUUUCUAGUUGUCAUUUUGAAACUCUCUAAGUCUGUUUCUCAAAGUGUCCAUGCAUCAUAUGAUCAUUUCCAGUCGGAAUCUUUGCAAAAAAAGUGAUAAAAAAGGUUGUUGAUAAGAGUUUAUUUUACGUAUUUUUAGUGUGUUUUAUUAGUUAAUUUUGGUUUGAUUAUUUAGUUUUAUAACUAAAAUAACUAAGGUUUUGGUAAAAAAACUACAUUUUAUGUUAAAAUGGCUAAACAUUGCAUUUUAUGGAUUUUUAUGGUAAAAAAACUUCAUAUUUUGUAGGUUUAAUGAUUCAAUCAUCAAAUGAAGUGCAUUGGGAAGAUAUUUGGAUGAUUGAAGAUGGAUUAAAGUGGUGAAAAAAAAAUAUGAAGUGUAAAAGGAAAAAUGCAAGAAAAGUCAGGUUUAACAACUCUGACACGUUUUGGUAUUUUGACUAUAUCUGGAGCUACACAGAUCGGAUCAAGGUGAUCUUGGUACCAUUUUGAAGCUAAGAGAUAUAUCUACAUUUGGUAUGAAGACAUCAAAGUCCAAUUCAGCCGUUUUCAUAGUCCAAAAGUUGAAAUACCGAAAUUCAACUCAGCUGUCCAAAGUGGAAAACAGAGCUCCGACCAGUCUAUAGUAUUUCGGUCAUAUCUCAGGCUACAAAGCUCCAAUUUGGAUGAUUCUUGAAGCAUUGAAAAGCUAACUCAAAGGGCUACAACUUUGCUGUUUUACACAAAAGCUAGUUCGGCCUUUAUGAGACAAAAUCGCAGAUUAAGUAAGGCCAAAGUGAAUACGCGAGUACACAAAACGUGACUUGUAACCGCGUUUUGUGUAGGCGCGUUUUCUGGCCGAAAUUCUGCAAUUUGACUCAGCCAUUUCCCUUGUGUUCAUACCACUUUCCAGCUAUAAGAUGCAAGGGAAUUCGGUGCACAUGCUUCAGAAGACAAAAUGGCAGACAAUAUGGCUUAUUUUCAAGUCAAAAACAAUGGUUUUUGACUAUCUUAACAAAAUGAGAUUUGAAGAAUCAUAGCAGCAAAUUUGGACUGGGAGAAGAGGAACUUUUCAUGAGUUUAUAUGCAGAGACAGAGAGCCAUUCAUUCAUUAUCAUACGGGGAGAGAACUUGAAGUGCAGAAAUGUAGUUCUUUCAUUUCCUUAGUGUAGGAUAGUGUAGUAAGUGUAGUUAAUCCAUUCUUGUAUAAUAGCUAGAUUAGGAUGAAGAUGGAGAUAAAGAAGAAGGAGUUGAAGCUCAAGUGACAUGGGUUAUCUCUACUCCAAUUCUUUAUCUUUUGUAUUGGAUUCUUAACUAUGGUUAUAAUGCAAGUUCUGGAAUUUAUGUUUAUUAUUUGUUUCUAAAGUUUAUGCCUUGGGUUUGGUUGAACUUCCUAUGAUUGUUAGUGUUUAUCAUUUGGCUAUUUAACUGCUAUGAUUUGAGCAAGUUAUUUAGCACUUUAGCUCUUUAAAUCAUGAUUAAUCUGGUACCAUUAAUUAUGAUUAUCUAAGGUGUUAUUUCUACAAUGAAAAUUGAGAUUUAACAUUAGUUCAAGAAGUGCUAAACAUAGGGAAUACACUCACGAGAGUAGAGGUGCACCUAUGGGGUUUUGGUGAUUUAUUUCAUGUAAUUUCAUUGAAGAAAUGAACUUGUAACUAAUUUCAUAACCAUGAGAAUAGGUAUGGAUUGGUUAUUAGUAUAAUUGAUUCACUACGAAAGUAGGAUUCAAAUGCAUAAGGAAAUUACACCAUAACUAGCCUAGAUGUAGUACUCAAUGAUCCAAAUAUAACACUUGCAUGAGUAGUUAGGGAUACCACAACCUAAGGAGCUUUUAUUUGUUAUUUUGUAUAAUUUCAGUAGGUUAAAUUUCUUAUAAUUCAUUGAUAGUCUAAAUAAUAGAGAAGUUUUAGUAAUACCGGUAAUUGUUCACUCUUCCCUAUGGGAUCGACCCGAUAUAUACCCUAAACUACUAGUUGAUCUGUAUACUUGCAGUGAACGGGUGUAAUUCGAUUUUUUAACUUGUACGUAUGUAAAAUACCCGUCAAGUUUUUGGCGCCGUUGCCGGGGAAGAUUUGGCAAUAUCGGUGUGAAGAGCAACUUUAUUAGUUUAGACAUUUUAUUAGUUAUAGUGUGAAUGUUGUUUUCUGUUAUUUUAGUGUUUUAAAUGUGUAUGUGUUUUAUCACCUAUUCUUCUUACUAAUUUUGCUCUUAAGUUGUUUAAAAGUAAUUUUAGGUGAUGAGAAAGAUAGGUCAAUUUGGAGGACAAUGCUUGAGAAGUGGAAGAUUGGCAAUGGAUGGUUAUCAAGUGCAAAGCUCCUUCAACAGAGGUAACCAAAAAUUUACUGAAUGUAUGUCUUUUGAAGAUGGUUUAAGGUGCUUAAAGGCUAAAUUUGAUGUUAUGAUAUUACAAGUUCAAAUGGACACAAUUAAGCAUGAAAUUGAGCAAGGGAGGAAUGUUAAUGCUUUUAAUUCUUAUCAUGUGAUUUGUGACUUGUGUGGAGGUUAUCAUGCUACUAAUACAUGUAUGCAAGCACAAAAUGUGGAUUAUUAUUAUGAAUUCGAGCAUUACAAUCCUUGUUUUGAUCAAUAUAGUGCUAAUUGGAGCAAUUCUCCUGCUUAUGGUUGGGAUAAUCAAUUUACUUAUAGUAAUUCUUCAUAUUUUUAUGAUUACCAAUCUGAAUGUGUCCAAUAUGAAUCAAAAUCAUCUUGGGAGUUGGCAAUAGAAAAAGUAGCUAAUGAUUCUAAGCCAUCUUGGGAGUUAGCUUUAGAAAAAUUAGCUAAUGCAACUUCUGACCGUUUUGAUAGGAUUGAGGAAAGAAUAGAUGAAUUAGCUUCUCACUUUGGUAGAAUACAUGAGCAAUUGAAUGCAUUGUGUGAAGUUAUUUUCUCUAAUAAUUUGCAAAACGAUCCUAGCAUGAAUGGUGGGAAUGUUGUAUGUGAAAAUGGGUUGCAUUUUGAUGAAAAUGAUGAAUCUCAAUUGUGUUUCAAUGAGCAAAUGUCCAUUUCACAUGAUAAUAUUGUUGGAACUAACUUUGAACCUCAAGAGGUGAGUUUUAAUGACUCAUUUUUCACCCCUCUUGAGGAGUGCAUUGAAAGUAUAGGUUCUAAAGGUAUUCCUGCCCAAGAUACUCUCAUGACAUUUCUUUUGGUAAGUUCUCAAGUGGUGCAUAUUCAAGAUAAUAUUUAUGAAACACUUGGAUUAGGUAAGUCACUUCUAUUUCUCACAUCAUUAGAUCAUGUGGCUUUUGCUAUAAAGUCACCUUUUAAUGAUCCACCACGACCUAAAAUGGUGGAUUAUUCUUUAACCAAGCCUCCUUGAUAAUGAGGUUCAAUAGUCGAGCCAACGACUAUAAAUAAAAGCGCUUAUUGGGAGGCAACCCAAUAUAUAUAUAUAUAUAUAUAUUUUUUUUUAGCUAUUUAUGUUAUUUUGGGGUGAUUUUAUGUUUACAGUAUGAGUUUGAGUUAUUUUGAUGUUUUUCAUUUGUAGGUAUUGGAAAUGAAAGCAAAAGUGACCAAAUGAGGUGAAAAAGGCGAAAUUUGAUCAAGGAACUCAACCCCUCGAUUUGAGUAAUUGUUGUUUUUGAUUUGUUAGAAGGGGUUAAAAUGCAUAUUUUGAUCAUUUUACAUGUGCAUGCAUUGAGAAUUUUAGCAAACAAAUGAUCUAUGAUGCAUUUUGAAAAUUUGGGGUAUCAUUUGUAAUUAUUCUUAAGUUAAAUUUCUGCUAAAUUUCGCAGCAGAAAAUGCAUUUUUCUAAAAAAACGCGCCAGUGAAUCGCGUUUUCAUAGAAUCGCGUUUUCAAUUCUGCGCCUAUAAUGAAGAAAACGCGCCUUAAAAAUGCGACAGAAAGUCGCGUUUUCCAGCCUGAUCAAAAAUUGAAAACGCGCCUUUAGAAACGCGACAUUAAAUCGCGUUUUUAAGCAUAGCCGCGUUUUCGAUCCUGCAAGAUAUGUGAAGAAACGCGACUUCAAAAAACACGGCUUGGUGGCGCGUUUUGAUGAGUCACGUUUUCUGAGCGAAAAUGCAGCUUCCUUGAUUCUCUUUUUCUUCUUUUUCUCAUAUAUUUUCUUGUACCUUGAGUUGCUUAUUGUAUUUUUUAUAGGUACAUCACCAAAACAAGAGCUUGAAGUUACGGAUCGCCGUUUUGAUGUCUUAAGCCUUUGUUAUCACUUUUGUUUCUCAUUUUCCAUUUUUAGGUUUACAUCACUAAUGGUUAUCCAAUGGAACUCAUGAAGCGUUGGAGAUACACGGACAAUGGAUCUUGAAGCUUCAUAUUCAAUCACAACAAUAGGGGAGUAUUACUUUCUUCAUCUUAAUUUCCCUUUUUACACAUUGAGGACAAUGUGCAUGUUAAGUGUGGGGGGAAGAAUUGAGAUUAUAUACAUUGUAUGUGAUUGAAUUAUUAGUUGCAAAUAUUGGACUUGUGUUAAAAUUCAAAAUUUUUCUAACAUCUUGUCCAAAAUUGCAAAUUUGCCCCAAAAAUUUUAAAAAUUUAAAUUUCAUCCAAAGGGGUAACAAAGUUCCAUACCAUUAGUAGUUCAAAUUCCUUCUACAUUUGAGAUAAAUAUAUGUGGUUUAAGCACUUCUUUUCUCAUUUAACUUGGAAAUGACUAUUAUGUGAUUAUAAUUUUUGCAUUUGUAAGAAAGUAUAUCUUUUAAAGUGGAGAAAAUUAUGCCUAUAUUUUUUUUUGCAUAUUUGAUGAAAUUUCUUCGCUUUAUUUGAUUUUAUAAGUUAAGUGAUAAAUAUGGUCAAUAAGUGCAAUACUCUUCUCAUGAUUAUUCUUUUGAGGAAUUUAUUAUUAUCUUUGCUGUAAAAAGAAAAAAAGAAAAAAAAGUGAAAAAAAAGAAGAAAAAAAAAUUUAUUUAUUCUACUCCAAUGAUUCUUGUACUUAGUAACCGGGAGUCUUCAUCUACAAAUGUCGACUUUCGCGUAAAACGGUACUUGAAUUAAGAGUAUGCAAAGCAACUUGAGUAUGUGAAGUGUUGAGUAACCGGUGAUCUUCAUCUAAAAAUGUUGAUCCUCGCGUAAAAAUAUACUUUCACAACUUAAGUAAUAUUAGCUAUAUUAUAUAAAUAAAUCCCUUUUUAAAUUAAAUAAGAAGAUGAUCAUGGGUUUAGAAAGCAUAUUAUUGACCAUAUAAGUUACUUACUUGUAAGAUUGGGUAAGGAUGAAAAAUGGAUUUGAACCUGUUAUAAUUACGGUAUAAUUGGCUCUCCUUUACUUGAUAUUAUGAGUACUUGAAUUUAAUUGAAUAAUUGCAUAAUGGUUAUUUACUUUGUUUUGAGGAAAUGAAGUUGAAAUGCUACAUAUGUUUAUUUUCAACUUUUGGAUCAUGGUUGGUUUGUAUUUCUUAUUGCUUGAGGACAAGCAAUGAUUCAAGUGUGGGGGUAUUUGAUAAGAGUUUAUUUUACGUAUUUUUAGUGUGUUUUAUUAGUUAAUUUUGGUUUGAUUAUUUAGUUUUAUAACUAAAAUAACUAAGGUUUUGGUAAAAAAACUACAUUUUAUGUUAAAAUGGUUAAACAUUGCAUUUUAUGGAUUUUUAUGGUAAAAAAACUUCAUAUUUUGUAGGUUUAAUGAUUCAAUCAUCAAAUGAAGUGCAUUGGGAAGAUAUUUGGAUGAUUGAAGAUGGAUUAAAGUGGUGAAAAAAAAAUAUGAAGUGUAAAAGGAAAAAUGCAAGAAAAGUCAGGUUUAACAACUCUGACACGUUUUGGUAUUUUGACUAUAUCUGGAGCUACACAGAUCGGAUCAAGGUGAUCUUGGUACCAUUUUGAAGCUAAGAGAUAUAUCUACAUUUGGUAUGAAGACAUCAAAGUCCAAUUCAGCCGUUUUCAUAGUCCAAAAGUUGAAAUACCGAAAUUCAACUCAGCUGUCCAAAGUGAAAAACAGAGCUCCGACCAGUCUAUAGUAUUUCGGUCAUAUCUCAGGCUACAAAGCUCCAAUUUGGAUGAUUCUUGAAGCAUUGAAAAGCUAACUUAAAGGGCUACAACUUUGGUGUUUUACACAAAAGCUAGUUCGGCCUUUAUGAUAGACAAAAUCGCAGAUUAAGUAAGGUCAAAGUGAAUACGCGAGUACACAAAACGUGACUUGUAACCGCGUUUUGUGUAGGCGCGUUUUCUGGCCGAAAUUCUGCAAUUUGACUCAGCCAUUUCCCUUGUGUUCAUACCACUUUCCAGCUAUAAGAUGCAAGGGAAUUCGGUGCACAUGCUUCAGAAGACAAAAUGGCAGACAAUAUGGCUUAUUUUCAAGUCAAAAACAAUGGUUUUUGACUAUCUUAACAAAAUGAGAUUUGAAGAAUCAUAGCAGCAAAUUUGGACUGGGAGAAGAGGAACUUUUCAUGAGUUUAUAUGCAGAGACAGAGAGCCAUUCAUUCAUUAUCAUACGGGGAGAGAACUUGAAGUGCAGAAAUGUAGUUCUUUCAUUUCCUUAGUGUAGGAUAGUGUAGUAAGUGUAGUUAAUCCAUUCUUGUAUAAUAGCUAGAUUAGGAUGAAGAUGGAGAUAAAGAAGAAGGAGUUGAAGCUCAAGUGACAUGGGUUAUCUCUACUCCAAUUCUUUAUCUUUUGUAUUGGAUUCUUAACUAUGGUUAUAAUGCAAGUUCUGGAAUUUAUGUUUAUUAUUUGUUUCUAAAGUUUAUGCCUUGGGUUUGGUUGAACUUCCUAUGAUUGUUAGUGUUUAUCAUUUGGCUAUUUAACUGCUAUGAUUUGAGCAAGUUAUUUAGCACUUUAGCUCUUUAAAUCAUGAUUAAUCUGGUACCAUUAAUUAUGAUUAUCUAAGGUGUUAUUUCUACAAUGAAAAUUGAGAUUUAACAUUAGUUCAAGAAGUGCUAAACAUAGGGAAUACACUCACGAGAGUAGAGGUGCACCUAUGGGGUUUUGGUGAUUUAUUUCAUGUAAUUUCAUUGAAGAAAUGAACUUGUAACUAAUUUCAUAACCAUGAGAAUAGGUAUGGAUUGGUUAUUAGUAUAAUUGAUUCACUACGAAAGUAGGAUUCAAAUGCAUAAGGAAAUUACACCAUAACUAGCCUAGAUGUAGUACUCAAUGAUCCAAAUAUAACACUUGCAUGAGUAGUUAGGGAUACCACAACCUAAGGAGCUUUUAUUUGUUAUUUUGUAUAAUUUCAGUAGGUUAAAUUUCUUAUAAUUCAUUGAUAGUCUAAAUAAUAGAGAAGCUUUAGUAAUACCGGUAAUUGUUCACUCUUCCCUAUGGGAUCGACCCGAUAUAUACCCUAAACUACUAGUUGAUCUGUAUACUUGCAGUGAACGGGUGUAAUUCGGUUUUUUAACUUGUACGUAUGUAAAAUACCCGUCAGUUGUGUAAAAAGAACACAAGUUACAGAGCAAGUUACAGCCUGAAUAUACUAAAAUGCAGGUAUAAAAUGCGGCCUAUGCCCUAGUUUUGAGCCCUCGUUUUGCUUUUUUUACAGGUUUGCCAAUUCUGGCCAGAUUUCAUUCUUGCUCUAUUUUUAGUCCAAUUUCUACUGAUAUUUAUUUGAUGAUGGAGACCGAACUAACUCUUGUACAAAACAUGAAAAUUGUAUCCCUUUGAGUUAGUUUUCCAAUGCCUUAAGAAUCAUUCAAUUUGGAGCUUUGUGGACCGCGAAAUGAUCAAAAUACCAUGACUGGUCAAUCUCUUGUUCCGCUUUUGACCAUGCAGAUGAGCUUCUGUAUGUCGACUUUUUGACAAUGAAGACAACUAAACUGGACUUCUAUUCUUCAUACCAAAUGUAGAUCUAUCUCUUAGGUCCAAAAUGGUUCAAAAAUCAUCUCAAUUUGAUCAUUGUAGCUCAAGAUAUUGCCAAAAUACUACAAUAUGUCAAAGCUGUGAAACUUGCUUCCUUUUAUUCUUGAUUGCAUUUCCUUUUUUGAAUUUUCUAUUCUCUUUUCAUCACUUUAAACUAUCAUCAAUCACCCAAUUAUCUUCUAAAACCAUGCUAUUUGAUGAUUGAAUCAUUAAACCUACAAAACAUGAAGUUUUCACCAUAAAAAUCCAUAGAAAUGUAAUUUUUACCACUUUAACCAUAAAAUGCAUUUUUCACUAGAAUUCUACUUAAUUAGCCAUAAAAGUAACUAAAACACACCAAAACUAACUAAUGAAACACACUUAAAACACGUAAAAUAUACACUUAUCACACGACCUUAAAAAUGCGACCUUAGGUCUUGUAUUCCACCCCACAUUUUCUCCUUUACAAGUUUGCACUUUUUGGGUAGAAUUUAUCCUUGCUCUGUUUUUUAUCCAACUGCAAUCAUAUUUUUCUUAAUGAUAAGGUUCACCUAGCUCUUGUACAAAACACAUCAAGAAUCAUCCAAUUUGGAGCUCUGUGGAUAGCAAAAUGACCAAAAUACCCUCAACUAGUCAGAACUCUAUUUCAACUUUCGACCAUAAAAAUGCACUUCUAUAUUUUGCCUUUUUGACAAUGAAAAUGACUGAACUGGACUUUGAUGUCCCAUAUCAAAUGUAGAUCCAUCUCUUAACUUCAAAAUGGUAUGAGAAUCACCUCAAUCCGAUGCUUAUAGCUCAAGAUAUAGUCGAAAUACGAAAAUAUAUCAAAACUGUGAAAAUUCCUUUCUUUUGUUCUUGUUUGCAUUCCAUCUUUGCACUUCAUGUCUUCUUUAAGCUAUUUCAAAUCAUCAAUAAUUAUUCAAAUAUGUUCUCAAUUCAUGCCAUUUGAUGAUUGAAUCCUUAAACCUACAAAACAUGAAGUUUUCACCAUUAAAAUCCAUAGAAAUGUAAUUUUUCACACUUAAACCACAAAAUACAUAUUUUCACUAGAAACUUAGUUAAUUAACUAUAAAAAUAGUUAAAACACAUUAAAACUAACUAAUAAAAUAUGCAAAAACAUGUAAAAUAUGCACUUAUCAGUAAGACAUUAUUGGCCAUGUACAGUCAAUUUGCAACUUAAAAAGUUUGUGGGUAAAGUCAGUUUGCAACUGAAGAAGUUGAUUAGAAGUUGAGUUUUGCUGAUAAGUACAUUGAUUCUAUUCAUUUGUUUAUUCUUUCCGAAAUUAUUAUAGUAUCCAUGACAGUGAGAUUUAUUUCACAUUCCAGUGGGAAGCGCAAAUAAUAAUUCUUAAGAAAUUCCAAGCCUAUUAUAAGCAAUUUUUUUGGUGCCAUGCUUGUGCAAGAAAUAGCCACUUUUUUUUUUUGCAAUUUUUUAGGUUAUUCUCUAAACACGGUUUUAAAUAAUUUUUAUUUUUUGUUAUUACGUUGUCGUCCAGAUAUCACAUCCACAACAUUGAAACAUAAAUAAGUUUAAGAACUUCAAUAAUUGGACUAAGUUUCUUGCUGCACUUUGCUUAUUGAUUGAACUCUAGGACCUACUUGCUACUGGAACCGAGACCUCAGCGACUACAAUAGAUGGGCCAUUUCAGAGCUACUGAAAAACCCAGAAAUAUUCUACAGGGCAGCUGAAGAACUCGAUCGUGUUAUUGGUCAGAAUCGAUGGGUGAAAGAGAAGGACAUGCCAAAUCUUCCUUACAUAUAUAGAGGCUAUUGUUAAAGAAGCAAUGCGUAUGCACCCCGUCGCAUUGCUAGCGCCAAGAUGUGCUCGCAAAGAUUGCAAAGUUGCAGGGUACGAUAUCGAAAAGGGAACUCGAGUCCUCCCCGAAUUGUGGGAGACGACAGAGGAAUUUUGCCCCGACAGAUUCACGGGAAAGGACAUUGAAUUCAAAGGGCAAGACUGUAAGUUCCGAGCAUUUGGUGCUGGAAGAAGAAUGUGCCCAGGGUACAAUUUAGGCCUCAAGGUUAUCCAAUCUAGUUUGGCCAAUCUUUUACAUGGAUACAGAUGGAAGUUGCCAAAUGACAUGAUGCCUGAGGACCUGGACAUGGAAGAAAUAUUUGGGCUCACUACACCAAGAAAGAUCCCACUUGUUGCCAUUGUUGAGCCUCGGCUUCCUCGUAAUCUUUAUUCACUGUGAUUCUCUACAUGUAUGUUUGAUCUCCCAGUAUCAUCAUUAUCAACUUGUGUUCAAAUAAAUCAGCUCUGCAAGUUUAGAAUUUGUAGCUGCGCUUAUAUGUGUUUGCCAAUUGCCACAACGCUGCAAACCCUUGUAGUUGGUGCAUGGCAUAUGCGUAAUCACUGAGAUUGUUAUGCCUAUUUAAAUCCAAAUUUGUGCACAAUUUUGUGAAACUGUGAAUAUGUACACCCCUGAUGUUCCAAAUACAAUCUAUAACAUUCUGACGCUAAUUUAAAUCUGUAAUGGCAGGUUUACAGUCAAAGCAAUGUGCUCUCUGCCAUCUUUCCUCUUAGCAUGGCCAGUGCCAGAAGUUGUUCCUACUUCCUAUGCACCUCUAAAUCAUCCCACUAGAUUGGUGCUGCUUUCCAUACUUGUUGGGAGGGAGAGAGAGAGAGGAAAGAAAAGAGGGGAGGGUGGGGUGGCUGUGGCAGUGGUGGCAAUGGGAAGGGAGGGAGGAGGAAGAGCAGCAGUGGUGUGGUGUGGGGAGGAAGAGGAAGAAGGGCGGAAAGAAAGGGAAAAAAAAAAAGGAAAGAAAAAAUAAGCAAGAUCAAAUGUCAAAAUGUCACAAAUUUAUAAUAUUACCGUUGUGCUCUUUAUAACUAUUUAACUAAAAAACCAAAACAAAAAGAGAAUUUUUAAAAGACCAAAAAAUAUAGACGAAAAAAAAAAACCAAAUUGCUAUCCAAUAUUGGUCCAUAUUUCUUUGUAUCAAGGUGGUGGUGGGAUAGUAAAAGAUAUGAGUAAAUUAAAAUCUAGUUAAAAUCAAAAAGUUAGAAGGAUUUCUUUGAAGUUAUAUUUGGCGGAUUUUUUUUUGGAAGUAACAAUAUUAUGAGGAUUUGCCUUGGGGUAAUAGCAGCUUGACUUCAAUAUUGAAGAUUGUCCGGCACAUAAAAUCCCAAGUCGUAGUCUCCAAGAUAUAUGUAUGAAGUGACGACGAGGUUCUUGAUAAAUCCAUUUAUGACAGCACCAUGUGCAACUCAUGAUAAAUUCAUAGGCUUUGAAUCUCCAUUCGGCCAUAAUUAAAUGUAAUUUUAUUUAAAAAAUACAGAUGGAUACAUAGUACGUCCAUUUGAUUAAAUAGUGAUUCAAUUUCUUACGGAUUACUUUAGGAUCUCUUCGAGCUUUUUCCCAUUAUGUAGUAGGCUAUCUUAUCGACAAAAAAAAAAAAAAAUCUCCAUUCGGCCAAAAAUCAUACUCCCUCCGUCCCAGAAAGUGUGUCGUAUUUCGGGGGAAUUGUAAUUAUUAUCAACAGUGCAAGACUUUUAAAUGAUUUGUAUUUAAGUUCCGGCAAUGUCCCUUGACUUUCAAUGUAUUCAUAACGUGGGUGAAUGAUAAAAGGGGCACAGGUUGUGAUAAGACAUACGGGACCCAAAAGAUUUAAAUGCCUCCACACUACUUUGAAAGAAAGUGUCAUGCACGAUUGCUAUUACCAUUUCACGUGAGAGUCACGAACUAUUGAGUGUAGUGUUGGUACUUGGUAAGUGAACAGAAAUGUGUCACAUUGGGCCCACUAAAAGGUAAGAAAAGGCUGUCACAUUGAAGGGUAUGGAGCGGAAAUGUGUGAAAACUUUCAUUGCCAAUUUUAGUAAGUGACAAUUAUUUUGAGACGGAUAAAAAAGAAAAGUAUGACAUUAUUAAUGGGACGGAGGGAGUAAACCCAUGGGCCAAAAAAUAGAUAAACAAGUUGAGUACUACGCUUUGUCAUGUACCGUGAUAUUAUUAUUAUUGCGAAAGAAAGUAUUCUCUAUUAUGACAGGACCAUGUGCAACUCCUGUCAGACUCAGGAGCUUUCACCUUUCCGACCGGACUCGCUGUGUCGGGCGAAGGAGAUCAGAUGUCAAAUUUCAGUUGAUUUGCGGCUGGAAGGCUAAGGAAGCUGUAGGUCCUGAAGCAAAAUUAGAUGGUUGCCAUACAACAACAAAUCUUUUUAAAGGUUUUUUUUAACUAAAUAAAAUAUUCCCUCUCAAAUUAGUUUUCUUUUUCCAAAUUUCAGUUAUGUGAGUAAAUGAAAGCUUUUACAACCAUUAGUUCUUUUAAAAUAUUUUAAAGCGUAACUGCAUGUACACAUUCUAUUAUAUUCAUUUGUCUCUUCUUCAGUUUUUAUACUCCAUCUAGGAUGUCUAAUCAUAAUUCCGUAAAAAAUUAAAAACUAUAUAUAUUUUUCUUUAUAAUUAGUCAAUUAUAAAUUGGUAAAGUUCUAAUCAAUUUCAUCCAUUAUCUAACUUGCAAGAAAGGAAUAGAUAUCUCCUAAAUACAAAGUUCAAAAGGAAUUUCUAGUCUUUUAUAAUCACGUUCACAUGAUGUUUCGGUGGAUAUCCAUUUGUCCAUUUUCCGUUAAAGAAACUUUACUUAUUACAAUCUUUUUCUUUACACUCCUCUAAAAUAGUAUGAAAUAUUACCAUAAUUCUUCACAUGUCACUAUUAAACCGAGGGUUAAGGAUUAUCGGAAAGUAAUCAUUAAAUAGUAUAUGAGUUUAUGUUUAGUGUCUUACAUUCAUUAAAUUUAUUGUUUUUUGGAAAAUUAAAGUUCGAAGAUAAAAAGAAGUUAAUGCAAAUGCACGGCUGAAUAACUGGUGGUCUAAUUCUAUUGCUUGCUUACCCACAAGAAUGACCACGCCAACACUACAUUAAUACACUCAUACUUUUGCAUUUCUUAAUUACUUGCAUUUCUUAUUCUUUCUUCCCAACAAUUCUACAGCCCAUAAUCAAUUUUAAUUCAGUAAUCUUCAUACAACUCUGAACAUAUAACUAUAUUUAAUAUAAAUUCUUGACAUACCUGCAUUUCAAUUCUCAAAAUCUUAUGGCAUGCCUUACUUUAUAAUGGUGUUUAAUUACUUAAGUUCUUAAACGAUCAAUCAUAUCAAAAUCAUAAACUUGUACCGUACAAUAGGAUGCUCUUCACAUCAUGAUCAGGAGUUUAGCAAUUAAUCUCCAUCAUGUCACAAUUAAAUUCAAUUUCAUAGCUAGGGGUGAAAUUGCAAAGCAUUUGGUUAAUCGGAUGUUUGAAGAAAUUUAAUUAAUUAAAUUUAAUAUGAAUUUAGUUCAGUCAAAUAGAUUUCGAUAUGGUCUUGGUAAAAACAAAAUUAUGAGAGUGCUUAAUUAGUUUGAAAGUAACUCUAAGUUCUCGAUUUUUUAUUUUAACUGGUAUAACACACACACACGUACAAUAUGUUACACAUGUUCACUUCACGUUAUUGUGGAUAUUUAAUAUUCUUAAUUACUACUUUCUUUUAUUCUUUUUUCCAUCAUCUCUUCACUUUCCUUCUUUCUUUUUCUUGAUCACUUGCAUUUUGUGAAAUUAUUUUUCAUGUUUCCAAUUGUUUGCUUUAAUUGGUUUUUCAUAUUUGUAAUUAUUUUUCAUUAAUAUCAAUUUCAUCCUAUUUAUGACUAACAUCUGACAGUGAUUUAUGCCUUUCCAAUUUGACAAUUAUUUGGUUAAAAAAACUUUAAAAAGAUUUGUUUUAUUGCAUUGCAAUUUUUGGGGACCAAUUAAUUUUGCUUCAGGUCCACAACUUCCUUGCUAAGCGUGUUGUGAGGGUUACACAGCGGCCUUGUUUAAAUUGUGCUUUUUUGCAAAAAAGAAUUUUACAUUUUUCGUAAAUAUAUUUUUUUCAAUUAUCUUUCUUAUCUCAUCUCAGAUGCAUCAAAUAGUUACAUUAUAUUUUUUUAUAAAGCUCCUAAAAAUAGCAAUGCAAAUGGAGCCCUUCCAGCCGCAAAUCAAUUGAGUUUUGAUGUCAUUUUCUGUGUGAAUUCCUUCUUUUGACAUGUAUCCACUUCGUAUGGUUGGAUCUUCCCGCUAUAGACCGAUCCGGUAGCAUAGUUUUUUUGCUCAAUCACUUAAGCUAUCAUGUUAGAGAUCAAUAAUCAGAGGCUUACAAACUUUCGUAAAAAUUUUCAUUUGAACAGCUAAAUAACCAAAGUCUGACGGCUAAACAAAACAAAAAGCUCAUUAUAAUUGCUGCUAUUUGUACAACUUUUCUGUGAUUAAAUAAAAUUCCCUUCCUCGUUAAAAUAAAUGAAAGAAAAUAUGAAGGAGAAAUUAAAUUGAUCUAAUUGUUUAACAAUUACUAGUAUUUCUUUUUGUGAUUUGAACUACUUCCUUUCCAUGUUUCGUACACUUAAAUCAGUGGCUUACACGUUUUCGUAUUGCACUAAUUUUCUUUUGUAAACCAAUAAUCAAAACUUAAAACUUAUUGCACUAGUAGUUAUUGAGUGACUUCCACGCCUUUGCUCAUUAUAAAUACCGGCCCCCUCCACAUUCCAAACACACUCAACCAUCUUCCUCCUUGUGCUACAAUCUGCCACCUCCAUCACCCCCACUGCUCCCACAAAAUGGAAAGCUUUUCUCCCAACUGGGCUGCGUGUGCACUCGCGUGGGUUGCAACGGUGGUUAUUAUCACCCAACUCUCGAAGCAUUUCCAUCAGAAAAAACUCAACCUCCCACCAGGUCCAAGGCAAUGGCCAAUAAUUGGAAACUUAAACCUCAUUGGCACCCUUCCUCAUCGCUCACUCCAUCAUCUCUCCCUAACAUAUGGCCCCCUAAUGCACCUUCAGUUCGGCUCCUUCCCGGUUGUCGUUGGCUCCUCUGUGGAGAUGGCCAAAGUUUUCCUCAAAACCAUGGACCUCACAUUUGCAGGGAGGCCUAAAACUGCAGCCGGAAAAUAUAUCACUUAUAAUUACUCCGACCUGCUUUGGUCCCCUUACGGACCAUACUGCUGCCAGGCACGUAAGAUUUUCCUUACGGAAUUAUUUAGUGCAAAAAGACUCGAAUCAUACGAACAUAUUCAGGUGGAAGAAAUGAAUUCACUUCUGCUGCAGCUAUUCAAAUCAUCGGGCAAGCCUGUCGUUUUGAAAGAUUAUCUUUCAACAGGGAGUUUGAACGUGAUUAGCAGGAUGGUCCUGGGGAAAACAUACAUUGAUGAGUCUGAGAACUCAAUUGUCACGCCCGAAGAGUUCAGGCAAAUGAUGGACGAGUUUUUUUUGCUGACUGGUGUGUUUAACAUUGGUGAUUUCAUACCCUGGAUCGAUUUCUUGGAUUUGCAAGGGUAUAUCAAGAGGAUGAAAAUCUUGAGCAAGAAAUUUGAUAGGUUUCUGGAGCAUGUUCUCGAUGAGCAUAAUGCCCAAAGGAAGGACGAAACUAAUUGCGUCAGCAAGGACUUGGUGGACGUCCUUCUGGGCCUUGCAGAUGAUCCCACUUUGGAGGUGAAGCUAGAGAGGCGUGAAGUCAAGGCAUUGACUCUGGUAUAUGUUACUUAAAAACUGCAUAACGCAUGCUGUCAACUUUUAAACGACUGAAAACUUGAGAGAAAAUAGUCAGUGAUCUUUUGAACUUCAAUACUCUCCCAAAAAUUUCUUUGCUACUGGAAACUUGAGAGAAAGUAGUCAGGAUCUUUGGAGUUUGAUGAAAAUUUUUCAGUGGAGGCAGAAUUAACAAGAAAAUUGCUUUUGAUAAAGGUACUCAAACAAGUAAGACAUUGUUGACCAUGUACAGUCAAUUUGCAACUUAAAAAGUUUGUGGGUAAAGUCAGUUUGCAUGUCAAGAAGUUGAUUAGAACUUGAGUUUUGCUGAUAAGUUGGUUCUAUUCAUUUUUAGCUAUUUUUUAUUAUUUUUAUUACGUUGUCAUCCAGAUAUCACAUCCACAACAUUGAGACAUAAUAAGUUUAAGAACUUCAAUAAUUGGACUAAGUUUCUUGCUGCACUUUGCGUAAUGAUUGAACUCUAGGACCUACUUACUGCUGGAACCGAGACCUCAGCGAUUACAAUAGAAUGGGCCAUUUCGGAGCUACUGAAAAACCCAGAAAUAUUCGACAAGGCAGGCGAAGAACUCGACCGUGUUAUUGGUCAGAAUCGAUGGGUGAAAGAGAAGGACAUGCCAAAUCUUCCUUACAUAGAGGCUAUUGUUAAAGAAACAAUGCGUAUGCACCCCGCCGCAUUGCUAACGCCAAGAUGUGCUCGCGAAGAUUGCAAAGUUGCAGGGUACGAUAUUCAAAAGGGAACCCGAGUCGCCGUCAAUGUUUGGUCAAUUGGGAGGGACCCCGAAUUGUGGGAGAAGCCAGAGGAAUUUUGGCCCGACAGAUUCAUGGGAAAGGACAUUGACUUCAAAGGGCAAGACUGUAAGUUCCUACCAUUUGGUGCUGGAAGAAGAAUGUGCCCAGCGUACAGUUUAGGCCUCAAGGUUGUCCAAUCUAGUUUGGCCAAUCUUUUACAUGGAUACAGAUGGAAGUUGCCAAAUGACAUGAAACCUGAGGACCUGGACAUGGAAGAAAUAUUCGGCAUUACUACACCAAGAAAAAUCCCACUUGUUGCCAUUGUUGAGCCUCGGCUUCCUUGUAAUCUUUAUUCACUAUGAUUCACUACGUAUAUGUUUGAUCUCCCAGUAUCAUCAUUAUCAACUUGUGUUCAAAUAAAUCAGCCCUGCAAGUUUAGAAUUUGUAGCUGCACUUAUAUGUGUUUGCCAAUUGCCACAACGCUACAAACCCUUGCAGUAGGUGCAUGGCAUAAGCGAAAUCACUGAGAUUUUUAUAGCUAUUGAAGUCCAAAUUUGUGCGCAAUUGUGUGAAACUGUGAAUAUGCACACCCCUGAUGUUCCAAAUACAAUCUAUAACAUUCUGACGCUCAUUUAAAUCUGCAAUAGCAGGCUUACGGUCAAAGCAAUGUGCUCUCUGCCAUCUUUCCUCUUUGCAUCUUCCAUCAUUCCCCUCGCCAAGGCCAGAAGUUGUUCCUACUUCCUGUGCACCUCUAAGCCAUCCCACUGGAUUGGUGCUACUUUCCAUACUUGUGCAAUGUCAGAGAAAAAGGGCAUAUGCUCAAGCGUUUCUGUUUGGUCCUCACGGCAUCUAUACUUAUGAUCCUCUUUCCCUGUUAUCUGCCUAAUUACUUCAUUCCCGGAUAAUAUUCUUAGGAGACAUUUCCAGAUAAAAUGUUUAAUUAUGCUUAAGUUUGAGACUUCAAAGAAUCUUAUUAGACAUGCUUAUUAAAUUUAUUUGGGCAAAUUACAUAUAAUCCCCUAUAGUUUUGUAUAAUGUCAAAUGACGCCUCUAAGGUUUCAAAAUAGCAGCAUAACCCCUGUGAUUUUUUGUAAAGUAAAAGAUAGAUGGAAUGCAUAAUCAAUUAUGGCGAUUAGACCACACGUGCUAUAAAAGUGGGUGUAAUUAAAUCAUAAUAUCAAUUUAAUCCCUUAUAUUGCAUAAAUGUCGACUUUAUCUUGGUGGUCUUUGCAUUUAUCCAUAUAAUCCCCGUAUGAUGUUGUAUAAGAUGCCAAACUGUUGUUUGAUUUAGCAUUUAAAUAAGGGUAAUACUGUUAUUUCAACUAAUGGCGUCAUAUAAACUAUUUUUUGUCAAAUUUCUAAUUUAUAUGAAAUCAUAGGCAGUGAAGUGAUUAUUUUAAAACUUUGAGGGGUUCUAUAACAAUAGAUGAAACUGCAGGGGAUUAUUGGUAAUUUAUCCAGUUUGUUUUGUUCAUUAGUUUAGGUACAUGGACAUAUAUUGUCCUGCGUGUGUUUUCAAAUUGAAUUCUUAUUGGGUUCAUACCAUGGGAAUCAUGUGAAAUAAAUCUCUUACUGUAACAUGUGGUUGAGGGGAAACAUCUUAGCCAGUUCUCUAUAUGGUUCAAAGAAAAUUACUUCAUUACCAGUUUAUAUCAAAACUGUUUCGCACUUUUAUCAUUUUCUGAUAUAAUUGCGAAAUUUAGAGGUUUUAUCAAAACUAAUAUCUAUCGAAAGUUUAUCAGACGAUCAAUUUUUUGGCUUAAUUUGGUGUUCCCUCGAAGCCUGAGCAAAAGCAGCUUAUUAUCUUCAAAACAGAUGUUCCAAUACUGAGAGGAAUUUAUUCCAUUCCGAGUUUUCUUGUAGGACAUAUUUUCAUCCUAAGGCCGUUGAUCCAAUCUCUUAAUUGGGUUUUCAUGAUAGUGAUUGAAGGAAAAUGUUUCCAUCACUUCCAAAAUGCAUUUUCAAUUUCGAUACGUUUUCAUUAAUGGGUUCAUUUUGGUCGAAUCGAUUGGUCUCCAGAUUCAUAAUUCUCUCAAUUCUGACAUGCGUUCAUUAUUUAAAACUCGAGACUGAGAAGUGAAGCUACCAAGCUAAGGGGAUCAAAAGCCAAGGUGUCGGCAGAAUUAGGCAGGCUAACAACAAGGCGACUGAUGCGAUAGAUACAAGGUAAUAUGAAAGAGACAAACAAGUGUCGGCAGAAUUAGGCUGGUUUAUCACAAAUCGACUGAUGUGAUACGUACAAGGUAAUAUGAAAAAGAUAAACGAACAACAAAAUAAAAUAAAAAGUGCACCAGAAACAAAACCCAAAUAUUUUCCUAUUGUCAUGGCGUAAUCAGUGGUGGAUUUAGGACCCAAGAUUAGGAGGCAAUUACUACGAUUAAGGCAAAAAUUUUGUUGACAAAUGUUAAUAACCAGUAUGGUAGUUGUGUGAAUUUUAUUGAAAUUAUAUAGUAUUUUGCAACAAUAACAACUAGAUGAUAAUUUUUUUUGUAUAGUAGACAACAAAAAAUUUUUAUGUUUAUUUUUAUGUGCCCAAACUUUUGAAAUCCCCUUUUUUCCCCAAAAUUUUCAACUACUACUUGUCUCCAUUUUAAACGUGCCAUCAUUUAUAAACUGGGGAUAAUUUUAGAAACCUCCCUUGAGGUUUUUAACAAUUUCACUCAACUCUCCUGAGAUUUCAAUAAUUAUAUUGACCUCCCUUGAUCUAAUCAAAUGACUAAAAUAUCCUUCACUUAAUAGUUAAUUCAUGUAAUGCCCGGUGCAACCCAAUGAGUACAAACAAUUUCACAAUGAUGCACAAAGAUAUAUCAAAUAUAAGCACAAUAAAGAAAACUUAAUUAAAGAGAAAAGAUAAGAAAUGCAAACCAAAUAUCAAUCCAAUAACCUCUUCAAUUGAUGGCGAUGCUAACCAAGAUGUACAAGUGAAGGUUCACUCCUUCCUCACCCCAAAUACUCUUUGGUUGAGCCAAGGAGUUUUACAACAAUUCUAGUUAACCCUCAACAACCUACACUUGAAAGAUCACUCACCCAAUUAAGAACUAUUUUAUACAAAUGAGGCAACCUUCACCAAGGUUUUACCACUCCAAGUGAUAGGUUCACCUUCACCAAGGUUUUCACUUGAGCAACCUCACAACCCAACUUUCCCAACCCCUUAUACAACCAACAAAGAAUCUUUCUACUCAAAAAUCUCACUUGUAAUCUUGUAUUUUGUGUUGGCAAAAGUCUCUUGUCUUCUUGUGCUUUGGGGUGUUUAUAGAAGGUGAGAAAUGGCUUCAAAAGACUCUCCAACGGUCAAAUAUUAAAUGCUGUCAAAACUAGCCGUUGGCCUGUCGGACGUCCGAGACCUCCUGUCGGACGUCCGAACCCUGCGUCCAAACCACCUGUCGGACGUCCGAACCCUGCGUCCGAACGUAGGCAGAGAGUCAUCAAAUCUUUGCGAAAUUUCUCGGACGUCCGAUGCGAUCGAUGUGCGUCCGAGGCGUGCAUCCGAUCCUUCCGGACGUCCGAUGUUUCCUCACGAGCGUCCGACAGAGUUUCCUUCUUGAUGUUCUUCAUUCUUUCGGACGUCCGAUAGCGUCCGACAUGAGUGCCCUGUUUUUGCUUCUUCUUUUAUGCCACAAGAAUCUGUUCUAACAAAUUACUCACAUAAAAACAUUAGCCCAAAUCUACAUUUUGGUUUGUUAAUCAUCAAAAUCAAGGAUUGAUCGACCAAGGUCAACAAUCUCCCCCUUUUUGAUGAUGACAAACAAAAUGAAGAUUUCUUUUAUCAAAUAAGUUCAAAUAAAGCUCCCCCUUAGAAAGUGCCAACAUACAAAGAAAUUUCAAUAAAUCCUACUCCCCCUUUUGGUAUCAAUCAAAAACAAACUCCCCCUUUAUUUUUCAAAUCAAGACCAUAUUGAAUAUCAAAAUUUUCAAUUGUACUUACAACCAUAUAGCACUUCUUGGAUCAAAUCAUCAUGAUGUGCCUAAAUAUGAGAAAUUUCAUUUGGUACCCUUUCUUUAUAGGGUCCUUGGGAGUUAAUACGACAUGAUCUAGCAAUCCACAUGAAUUUCAUGCCUUUUCUCAUAUUUUUCUUUACAUAGCAAUCAUUUUGCAUAUGUCCAAAUUUGUAACAAAAGUGACACAUGAUAGAAGUAUUUUGCACAUAGGUGGAUUUAAUGCAACUAAUUUUCUUACUUCUUAUCAUAGCAAACUUAUUUGUGCCUUGAAAAGAUUUGCUUUCUUUUGUUUGAGAAAACUUUUGUUUUUCAUUUUGGAGAAACUCGUUCAAGUCAUUAAUUCUUUUCUUUAACACAUUUUGUUCCUCCAACAUUUUUUCAUAAAACUUUGUUUUCUCUUCUAACUUCCUUUUCAAAUUAUUUUUGCAAUCAAAAACACUUUUUUGUUUUUUUAAAUCAUCAUUUUCCAUUCUCAAACAUUUGUUUUCUUGAAACAGUUUGGAGUUUUCUUCCAACAAAUCAUUUAUUUUUGUUUUCAAAUCUUUAUUUUUAGCAUAAGAUUUUCUCAAACUUUUAUGCAUUUUAAUCAUAAGAAUUUUCACAUCAUCAUCUUCAUUAUCUUCAUCACAAGAAGAGUGAUAAGAACUUACCUCAUCUUCUCCAACGGCCAUUAGUGCCAUUUGGGCCAACUCUUCUUUUUCUCUUUUUGAAUUGCAUUCAUCCCAUGUAAUUUUGCAAUCUUCUCUUGAGCAUCUCUUGUUGAAGGUCUUCUUGGAACUUUUGAUGUGAGGAGUUGUAUCAUUGUCCACUUCCAUGAAUUCAUUACCCAUGAAGGAUGGGUUAUCCCCCACUUGAGAUGCUUUAAAAGCUAUGCCUCUCUUAUACAUUCUUGCAUUUUCUUCCUCUUGCACUUUGAAUUUCAGCUUUAAUUCAUAAGAGGUUAGGGUAUCCACAAGAGAUUCAAUGGACAUAGAAUUUAAAUCCUUUGCCUCUUCUAUAGCAUUUAUUUUGUUUUCCCAUUCUUUUGGCAAGGCAUUCAAAAUCUUUCUAUUUUUCUCACCCAAAGAAUAUUCUUUUCCAAGCAAUUUAAGAUCUUCAAUAAUGUCACAAAAUCUACUACACAUCUUAUCAACAUUUUCAAGAGAAUGCAUUUUGAAAAAUUCAUAUUGAGAAACAAGCAAAGAUUUCUUUUGUUCUUUAAUAUCUUGGUUACCUUCAUGAAAUACACACAAUUUAUCCCAAAUAUCUUUAGCUGAUUUACAACCUUUAAUCCUGCUAGAUUCAUUUACAUCUAAUGCAUUGUACAAUAUACACAUGGCCUUGGCAUUUAAAGAAAGGUAUCUCUUGUCUUUUUCAUUCAAUUCUUGUCUAGUCUUUAAUCUACUCAAAUUGGUGGUGGAGUCAACUAUUCUAGCUUCAUAAGGACCAUCUUCUACCACAUACCAUAAUUCAAUAUAAACGGAUUGUAAGAAAAUCAUCAUUCUUUGUUUCCACAUGCUAAAAUGAGAACCAUUAAACAUAGGUGGUCUAUCAAUAGAUUGCCCUUCUAAAAAAGAAACUUUUAUGGUUGCCAUGAUCUUUACUCUAAGCGGUUAAGCUUGAUCAAAAGAGACCAAGCUCUGAUACCAAUUGUAAUGCCCGGUGCAACCCAAUGAGUACAAACAAUUUCACAAUGAUGCACAAAGAUAUAUCAAAUAUAAGCACAAUAAAGAAAACUUAAUUAAAGAGAAAAGAUAAGAAAUGCAAACCAAAUAUCAAUCCAAUAGCCUCUUCAAUUGAUGGCGAUGCUAACCAAGAUGUACAAGUGAAGGUUCACUCCUUCCUCACCCCAAACACACUUUGGUUGAGCCAAGGAGUUUUACAACUAUUCUAGUUAACCCUCAACAACCUACACUUGAAAGAUCACUCACCCAAUUAAGAACUAUUUUACACAAAUGAGGCGACCUUCACCAAGGUUUUACCACUUCAAGUGAUAGGUUCACCUUCACCAAGGUUUUACUCCUCUUAGAGAAUAACCUUCACUUGAGCAACCUCACAACCCAACUUUCCCAACCCCUUAUACAACCAACAAAGAAUCUUUCUACUCAAAAAUCUCACUUGUAAGCUUGUAUUUUGUGUUGGCAAAAGUCUCUUGUCUUCUUGUGCUUUGGGGUCUUUAUAGAAGGUGAGAAAUGGCUCCAAAAGACUCUCCAACGGUCAAAUAUUAAAUGCUGUCAAAACUAGCCGUUGGCCUGUCGGACGUCCGACAGGUGCCUGUCGGACGUCCGAACCACCUGUCGGACGUCCGAACCCUGCGUCCGAACGUAGGCAGAGAGUCAUCAAAUUUUUGCGAAAUUUCUCGGACGUCCGAUGCGAUCGAUGUGCGUCCGAGGCGUGCGUCCGAUCCUUCCGGACGUCCGAUGCUUCCUCACGAGCGUCCGACAGAGUUUCCUUCUUGAUGUUCUUCAUCCUUUCGGACGUCCGAUAGCGUCCGACAUGAGUGCCCUGUUUUUGCUUCUUCUUUUAUGCCACAAGAAUCUGUUCUAACAAAUUACUCACAUAAAAACAUUAGCCCAAAUCUACAUUUUGGUUUGUUAAUCAUCAAAACCAAGGAUUGAUCGACCAAGGUCAACAAUUCAUAAAGGGACAUUUAAAUCCGUAAAAUACUUCUUAUUAUUUUACUUGUCAUUUAUUCAUCUCAAAAACAACCUCCAUCCAUUUCCUAAUGUUCAUUUCUUCCUCUCUCAGUCCUUCUCUCUUCCCUUCUUUCUUACUCUUCUCUUUUUUUCCUCCUAUAAUGGCUUCUCCCUCUCACCAAAUAUCGUGCUUCAUUGUUACCAACCACACCACUAUCAAUUUUUUAUCAUCUCCAAAAUUUAUCUGCAUUUUUUUGUCUUCUUGCCUCUUUCUUACUAUAAAACUUUUAGACCCUUUCAUUCUUUUUCAAUGUUUUUACUCUUUACAAAUGUUAGCCAAUUGAAGUCACCAAAUUAAUAAUGUGCAUACUGUGAAUUUUAUUAUUAAACUAGGGGAAGAUUAAAAAGGUGGCAAUGAUAUAGGGACAAAAAAAAUGAAAUUGAGAGUUGGAAGAUAAAGAAGUGAUCAUUAUGUUUGUUAAGUAAAAUAGUUUAGCAAUUAAAAAACUCAUUGGUUCUCUCUUUUAUUUCUGCUUAUUGAUUGUGGUUUUACUAUAAAGGUAGAAUUUUGUCUGUAUUUCUAGGUGUGCUAGAGCAAUAAUGAAUUAUAUUCUUCAGGACAUGGGGGCAUUUCUUGAUUUAGUAUUGGUAGUGGUGGUUGAGAGUUGCAUUGGAUAAGAAUUAGCAAGUAAUGAAUUUUAAAAUGAAUUGGAGUCGCUGGACUCUAUUUAUUUUAGUGAGUAUGUCAUGUAUAAGAUUUCUUGGUUUUGACGGCUUAUUAGUCUUGGACCAUUGGUAGGAUGUGGACGAAGGAAAUCACAUGUCAAAUUUCAUUUGAUUUGUGGCUGGAAGGCUAAGGAAGCUGUAGGUCCUGAAGCAAAAUUAAUUGGUCCCCAAAAAUUGCCAUACAACAAACAAAUCUUUUUAAAGGUUUUUUUAACUAAAUAAAAUAUUCCCUCCCAAAUUAGUUUUCAUUUACCAAAUUUCUGUUAUGUGAGUAAAUGAAAACUUUCACAACCAUUACUUCUUUUAAAAUAAUUUUAAGUGUAACUAAAUGUACAUAUUCUAUAUUUAUUUGUCUCUUUUCAUUUUUUAUAUUCCAUCUAGGAUGUCUAAUCAUUAUUUUGUGAAAAAUGAAAAAACUAUAUAUAUUUUUCUUUAUAAUUAGUCAAUUAUUAAUUGGUAAAGUUCUAAUUAAUUUCAUCCAUUAUCUAACUUACAAGAAAGGAACGGAUAUCUUCUAAAUACAAAGUUCAAAAUCAAUUACUAAUCUUUUACAAUCAUUUGAAUAUCCAUUUGUACGUUUUCUGUUGAAGGAACUUUACUUAUUACAAUCUUUUCUUUACACUUCUCUAAAAUAGCAUGAAAUAUGGCAAGCGAUAUUGUCAGAGCAAUUAUCUUUAGCGUAUUUUACUCAAAUGCCAAGAUCACCCUUAAUCAAUCAACUUUAUAUAUGUUCAUUGAUUUUUCUAGGAUCCAUUGUGUAUUAAUUACUCCAUUUUUCGCUCUCUAAUUAAGUAUUUCCCAUUAGGAUCUCUCAUUCUUCUUUCUAUCAUUUUCAUUUCUCUUUAUCUCACUCACACAUUAAUAGAUCUAUUAUUUCAUAAUUGAAUAAUAUAGUUUUUGCCUUAAUCUUUUCUUGUAUCAUUUUGGUUCUAUGCAUUCUUGCUUUGUUAUUCAAUCCUAAAACUUUUAUUUAUUCAUUUAUUUAUUUUUUACAAAUAGAACUUCAUUUAAAACCAACAAAUUUUAAUUUAAAAUAAUUAUUAUUAUGAUGUCAUUGUAACUCAAUACUUUAGCAUAAAUUUUUUUGACAUGCAACAUGCAUUUUUCUUUGAAUUUUGCUUGAUUAUCAGGCCUGUAAGCAACUAAUACUAUUAAAACUUUACCAUCUUUUUCUAUGUUAUAUUUAUCAUGUAAGUCUUGACUUUUAUCUUUUAUCGAAUAUUCAUAUUUAUCAUGUAAGACAUGAUUUCUAUUAAGUAUUUGUAUUCGCUAAUAAUUAGAUGAAAAUAAGUUUAAAUUACAUUACAUUAUAUAUCCCAUGAAUAUUAAAGGGAAAGUAAUGUUAUUUUUUGGAAUUAUUUUUAUUUUAAACUACUAUUUAAUUUGACUUAAAUUACAUUGUGUUUGAAAAAGAACCUUUUGAGAAAAAUUUUAAAAAUAAAAAAAUAUAAGAGCAAGUAGAAUUAAUAUACGAGAAAUUAUUAAAGCCAAGACCAAUUUAGUAAAUCAUGAAAAUAAUUGAUAAAUUAAUAUGAGAGAGAGAGAGAGAGAGAGAGAGAGAGAGAGAGAGAGAGAGAGAGAGGAGGGAGAAUGUGAGUGAGUAGGAAAAAACUUUAAUUGGACAGAGAAGAAGAGGAGUAAUUAGUGUUUAAUGGAUUAAAAAUCAAGAAAAAUAUAUGGAGUUGACUGAUUAAAGAUAACUUUAGCAUUUGAGAAAAUUUUGCUUUGGCCGGAACAUUAUUACUCUGGAUGGAAAUAUUGCAAACCAUGAAAUAUUACUAUAAUUCUUAACAUGUCACUAUUGAAUCAAGAGUUAAGGUUCAUUGGAAAGCAAUCAUUAAACAGUAGUAUAUGAAUUGAUUAUUGUUAUUCUGUAUAACUUUCAGAGUAUGUUUUAUGUUUAGUGUCUUAUAUUCAUUAAAUUUAUUAUUUUAGUUCAUUUAUAUCCAUUUUUUUGGAAAAUUAAAAUUCGAAGAUAAAAGAUGCCAUGCAAAUGCACUGGUGAAUAACUGGUGGCCUAGUUAUAUUGCUUGCAUGUCCACAGAGUGACCAUGCUAACGCUACAUUAAUACACCAGUCCGUUGGUAAUACUUGUUUGCAUUACUCAUACUUUUGCAGUUCUUAAUUAAUUACUUGUAUUACUUAUUCUUUCUUCCCAACAAUUCUACAGCCCAUUAUCAUCAUUCCAAUUUAUUUCAAUUUAUUGCAAAGCCUUUGGAUAAUCGGAUGUUCGACCGAGUUUAAUUAAUCAAAUUUAAUAUGAAUUCACUUCAGUCAAAUAGAUUUCAAUAUGGUCUUGGUACAAACAAAAUUAUGAGAGUGCUCAAUUGGUUUGAAAGUAAUUCUGAGUUCUUGAUUUUGUAUUUUAAUUGACACACACACACGCACCAUGUCACAGAUGUUCACUCCACGUUAUUGCAGAUAUUUAAUAUUCUUAACUACUAUUUUCGUUUAUUCUUUUUUCCGUCUCUUCAUUUUCCUUCUUUCUUUUUCUUGAUCACUUGCGUUUUGUGAAAUUAUUUUUCAUAUUUCCAAUAGUUUGCUUUACUUGGCUUUUCAUAUUUGUAAUUAUUUUUCAUCAAUAUCAAUUUCUUCAUAUUUAUGACUAACAAUCUAAUAGGGAUUUAUGCCUUUCCAAAUUGUUAAUUAUUUGGUUAAAAAAACCUUUAAAAAUGAUUUGUUUUAUUGUAUGGCAAUUUUUGGGGACCAAUUAUUUUUCCUUCAAGCCCCACCUCUUUCUUGCUUGGUUUGUUGUAAGAGUUACACAGAUCCUGUUUGAUAACCUAAUUAAAUAUUUAAAUUUAAUGAAUUUAUAUCUUAACAAUUUUGUAUGGCCCCUUAUAACCGCUAAUUUUCUUUUGUAAAUCAAUAAUUAAAACUUAAAACUUAUGCUAUUGGCUUAAUUAUGGGGUUUUGGUUCUGCCGCUGCACUUGAGAUACUCAGCCCCCUUUAAUAAGCCCCGUACCCAACCUAAUCAAUGUAAUGCUACCACUUUACCUUGCCCACGUGCAUUUAUUUUACAACAUUUUUGGCUGCAAUUUGUGAAGACGGUGGAAUUGCUCUCCAAUUUCAUAGCCAUCUUGUGGCAACAUAAUGAAAAGUAUAUGACAGGUGUCGAGCCUGUACAAUAAUAAUUACUAAAAAGUCCUAAUUACCACCACAAUUAAUUAUAGAACAAAUCCAAAUACUGGAGCAAGGAUCCUAGGUGUGCAAUGGGUUACUUGAUUCACCCUAUUCCGGAAGAGUUUGCUUGAUCCGAUAUACCAAAUUUGUCUAUAAAAAUAUUAAAUUUGCAUACAAUAGCAAGUAGGGUCGAUUCCACAGGGAACGAAUAGGAAAUUGUUUCUUUCCAAGUCAAUAGAGCAAAAUUGGGGAAGAUUUGAUGGAAUGCAAAUAAAAAUAAAAUAAACAAAACUCAAAAGCUAACUCACCAGGUACAAUUUACUAAAAAUAACAAUUAAUAAAAUUCUACCCAAAGGAUCAACUCUUUAGGCACGGUCCAAUCAAAUGAUCAUCGAUGCAAAGAUAUUUCAUUCAUUCGUCACUAGGUUGGUUAUAACUAUCAACAAGCUCUGACAGCCAGUUCUUCCUUACUUUUCCGACAGUCAAGGUACGACCAUUGAUUGUUUCUCUAAUCAGAAAACAACCCUAGAUACGACCGUAGGAAUUUAAUUAUCCAAUUGCAUUAAAACUAGAAAAACUCAACCCUAACCAAUAAACAUGCUAAGAGAGUUUAUUUAAAUUAGAUCUUGCAUUCCCCCAACAUAAAGCCAAUUAUGGUGGUUGUCACUAGAUAUCAACUAAGCGAAUAAUUACGGAUUCAAUUUAGCUAAUGUGACAGUAGGCUAUUAAAUUAAAUUAAACACCCGGCCGUUGAUAUUCAAUUAAUAAAAUACCCAUGAACGAUUAAUCCAGAAAAUGCACAAAUAGCAACAAGUUGGAAGAAAUAAUGAAGAUUCGAUAGGAUCUCACAGAUAUUAUAGACCGCGCCUUCGCGUCAACCUUUGGAUAGAGGAGAAAACUAGCCGCUCAUCAUCGUAUCAAUUUCACGUGAUUUGAUUGAUUCCAUCCAUACAAACAUCAAAGAAUUUGCAACGAUGAAGUACCGAAGAAAGAAAAGGGAAAAAGUCUUCCUUUUCUCUGCGUUGGUGUUCGUACUGAAGCCGAAAAAAUACAACGCAAAAGCUAAUGAAAAUUGUACAAGACCAAAGCCAAAGCAAAAGAGUCAAAAGUGUCAAAGCCAAAAAGCAAACGGAAGUCUACAACGUUUGACCGCUAUGGGAAAAGAAGACUAAAGCUAAUGUAUCAAUUAGACGUGAAUCUGGCUUUGCUAAUUGCUGCUGAAGACCAAAGGAAAAAGACGUCUGAUCCCACAAAAGCCAAAGCUCUUCUAAUUGAUAUCACGUGAAUCUGGCCCCUUUUUUUCCUUUGUUGCCGCCGCCACAGAGACCAAGAAACGUCUAUAGUUUUACUUUCUUUUGGAGCCUGGGCUUUGAUUCCAUGCGUCUGGUUUGCAUGGGCUUGGUAUCCUAGUUAGCCUGCUGCUACCAAUUUUGCGGAUCCGGCUUUGGGUGUUCUUUACAAUUUUUGGUGUGAGCAUGUCAUGAAAUAGAGAAACUUUUGAAAUUUCACCUUGCGGUUGUGGAAGCACUUUAUAUAUCAAACACCUACAAUUUAUACAAAUAUAAAAUAUGAGCAAAAACUAAAUACCUAGCGCAGGAAGUAGCCAAAAUUAGGAUAGAAUAACAGUGUAAAAUAUGCUCAAUAAUUGCUCUAUCAGUAUAUCAAAUCAAAAGGACUCAUCUAAACAUUCUGACAUUCACCAAUUAUCUCUCAUUCAUAGAUAAAAUAUGGAAAUCAUAAUUCUGCAAAUUCAUCAUAAUAUCUCCAUUAUAACUAUUGAAGAAAAUUUGAAGACAGAUAAAUUAUUUAUUCUAACUAUUCUUCCAUGGAAACAACAACAACAAAACCAAUUUAAGGCUUUUAACCCAUGUGCCACACUGAUCACAAUAAUUUGCAUAGUGAGUUCUUGCUAGUGGUUGUUGUGUGACUUCCACGCCUUUGCUCAUUAUAAAUACCGGCCCCCUCCACAUUCCAAACAUACUCAACCACCUCCUUUGUGCUGUAUUCUGCUUUCUUCUGCCGCCACCACCACCCCCACUGCUCCCACAAAAUGGAAAGCUUUUCUCCUACCUGGGCUGCAUAUGCACUUGUGUGGGUUGCAACGGUGGUUAUUGCACACCUCUCGAAGCAUUUCCAUCAGAAAAAACUCAACCUCCCACCAGGUCCAAGGCAAUGGCCUAUAAUUGGAAACUUAAACCUCAUUGGCACCCUUCCUCAUCGUUCACUCCAUCAACUCUCCCUCACAUAUGGCCCCCUAAUGCACCUUCAAUUCGGCUCCUUCCCAGUUGUCGCUGCCUCCUCUGU